RNAcentral lists this long non-coding RNA (53061 nucleotides) under Citrus maxima (pomelo). Its description in RNAcentral is "long non-coding RNA (CMAX_LNC004174)". The record is from RNAcentral. Lineage: Eukaryota; Viridiplantae; Streptophyta; Magnoliopsida; Sapindales; Rutaceae.
GAACAUGUUUGGUGCAGUUUAUAAAAUCAUUUGUAAUUUUGUGUAAAUUUUGAAAUUGAUAAACAGUAGUUUUCUUGUUCUUGUAAGUUUUAGAUCCUCACUUAAAGUUACUCCGUGCAUUAUUAUUUAGUAUAUGUGAGGGUUUAAUGGGAUUGAUGAUUUAGACUUAUCUUAUUAUUGUGAGAAUUCAAUGGAUGAGGGAAAUGGGAAUUCAAUAGGUAAAAUUAUGACGGGGUGUGGGGAAAUGUGAAGUCAAGAGGAAGAAUUAUGAAGGGAGUGAAAUAUCUAGUUCAUAUUUGUUAUUGAGGUUUAUAGAUGCUGGUUUUUGUGUCAUUCUUGGCAUGUUUCUACCUAUAAGUAUAUUUAUUUUUCCUGCCUAUGUACAACAAAUGGAUGAUCGUUUUCCUUUGAAAAUGCUUAUCUACUACCCCUUUUUCUUACUUAGUUGAAGGGAAAGUCUCUCAAGAUAGUUUCAAUUUUUUAAUUUUCAUCCAAAAGUAAUUCAUCAACUUAUGUUUGUUCAUGGAACGGCAGGGACAACAGAAGUCUACUACUAGUAGAUCAUUAGCUUCUGCAGUUCAUUGACACAUAAAGACCUGUAGCUGUAGUGAUGUUUUAGAAAUUUCAUAACUUAUGCCACAGAACAACGUUUACCAAUUAGAAACCCAGAACCCAUUUGUCUCAUUGUUUAGAUGUUUUGUUUGGAGGCUAAUUCGUAGAACCCAUCGUUAACUGUAGAACCAAAAAUUGUCCAACAAAAUGUGGGGAUUUUUUGGGAUUUGGACAACAAACCCCAAAUUCAGUCCCUCCAUUUGAAGCGGCCAUUAAUAUGAAAAAAUCAAUAUCUUCAUUUGGGUUGUUAAAUAUAUGGUGGCAUAUGCUAAUGGCCACGCAUUUAGUUAUGUUCCUCAAGCUGUAAGAGAGCACAGAGAAGAGAAAAAAUUGUUUAACUAAUUGUAAUUAAGCCUGCUGAGGCGUAUGUAUGUGGUGUUUGUGGAUAAUCAUGAUAAACUUGUUAAUCAUUUUAUGCAAAUUCAUGAGUGUGAAGAAAAGAAGAGGUUGAAUCAAAUAGAAUCAGCCAGAGGGAAGAGGAGAGUGCAUUUGGUUGGCAAAUAUUCAAUGAAGAUGAAAAAAUAUGAAAGGGCUGCAAGGGCAAUUUUGACUCCAAAAGUGGGUUAUGGUUUGGCUGAUGAAUUGGAAAGAGUGGGGUUUUGGGUCAGGACAGUGUCAAAUAAGCCGCAAGCUGCUCAUGUUUUGUUGAGGAAUCAUAUGGUGGAUAUGAUGGACAAAAGAAGGAUUGAGUGUUUCAUUGUUGUGCCGUAUGAUCUAGAUUUUGUGGAGGUUUUGCUGGAGGCAGAGUUGAGGUGUCCGAAGACAGUAGUUGUGGGGGAUAUAAAUGAUGGGGCAUUGAAUAGAAUUUCUGAUGCUUGUUUUUCUUGAUGGAUAUUUUAAUGGGGAAGGCAAGGAAGGAAGCCGUAUCAGUUGUUGGCAAAUGGAAGGACCGAGAGGUUUUGAAGAGGUUGGAGUGGACUGACUAUCCAGAGGUUGGGAAGAAGAACUUGAUUGUGAUAAUGAGAGUGAGAAUGCAAAUGUUGAUGAUAUAACUCAUGCUGACGAUGCAGAUUGUAUCCAGAAGGAAGAUAAGGGUGCCUGGUGGAAGCUGGAAUCUUCUGAUGCAGAGGCCACUUCAUAACAAUUGUGCUAAAGACAGUUGGGGGUUAUAUGGUUGACAUAGUGUGUGACUGGGUAAAGUGCCCUUACAUUUUCUUGCUAGCAUUUCUGGGAAGUUGUAAUACCUGAAAGCAUGAAAUAAUUGUUCCUUGUAGCAAACAGAGUUAUAUUUAUAUGGCUUCCAUCUUUCCUUCUUCCCCUCAAAUGUUGCUGUUGAAAAUUAAAAAGAUUGUAUUUGGCUUUAUGGUAUCUUACAUAAAACUUGUCGAAGUUUUUCCAAAAAUAAAUCUUGCAAAAUUUUGAUUAAAAUACUGGGAAAUUCAACAGAAAGCAUAGUGCCUGAUAGGCUAGUGGAAGGCAGCCUUUGCAGCUCUGACAUAUUGGUAUCUUGAAUUAUGUAAUCCAUCUUUCAGUUGAAGAUUUCUCACAGCAAGAGGCGCACUUGAAGAAGUAAAUGGCAGUGGAAGUGGUCAGUGUGGUCGUGCUGCAUUUUUAUUUGAUUGACUUAAUUUAGAAGGAAACACCAAAAAAAGGUAAAGAUUCACAGGCAUGGUUGCUCUUCUUACUCUGUUUUAUUUUACUAAUGCACUGUGCUAGAGGGUAUAUUUUGUUCCAUGCUAUUGGAUUUGUGUUACAAGAAUAAUCCUAACUUGUUACAGAACAUUUGGACAGUCACAACUUAGCUUCAGUGAAAUCUCAAACUCUUUUUGGGGGAAAUAUUUUGAUGCGGUGAGCUGUUGAUAAUACUAUGAAUGUGCUUAUAGAACAGUUAUUUUGACAAUGAUUUUAUGGGGUUUUGGAAAUUGAAAGAUUGGCUAGCUGUAUCUUGUUCUCGACUCUGGCUUCAUGUCCAAGGUAUACAUACAUACAUGUUUUGAAUACCAUAAACUUCCAUUAUUAUUAUUGUUCUAUAUUUGAAGAAAUCUUUGAUAUGUGCUAGACAAAGUACUAAUUGCGACAUAAUUUUCUUGAAUGUAGGUUGGAGCCUUAUUUUAAUAUCUCAACAAGAGAAAUUAAUUAAAUUUUUAUGUUAAAUUUGUUGCCAGUAACUUCACGCUUCUGAAGUAACAUCUUAAUUUUUUUUUCGAAUUAAAUUUAGUUUCCCUCAAGUGAACGAUUCCAAAGUGUGUUUUGGAUUUGCAUGCAAUUUGAUUUGAGGUGGUGCACGUCCAAUAUAGAGAUAAAAUUACUCGAUUACUAAUGAGCGACACAGAGCUGUAAAAUAUUUCGUGUCCUUUAAUUGGCCCGUUUUAACUGCAGGGAUGUCGCUCGGUAUUAUUUUUGAAUUGUUGUUUCUGCAUUUAUUUUAUAGUUUAGAUAUAAUUAGUUGCAGCUUUGUUUAAAAUAAUAUUUAAAAAUAUAAUUAGUAAAAAUGUGUUUAGUAGUUUAUUUGAAACAAUUAUAAAGUAACUUAUAUGCGGGAUCCGUUUCUUUUGUUUUAUUUAAUUUAUAGUGAAAUUCUAAAUGGAACAGAAAGGCGUGUGGACUGAUUAUAAUAAUAAUAAUGGAAAUAAAAUAACAACAAAACGCAGAGCAGAUGCACUUGACAUGGCAAGAAUUGUGGGGAACAACAAAAUACUGUCCUCUUGUUUUAUUAAAAGUAUAAAGUGGAUACAAUUUUUCACCAAAUACAGCAACAUAUCAAAGAAAUGGUCUGCCAAACAUGUUUUUCAUUUUAUUAAUUUCAUAAAAAUAACAAAAACAAUACUAAACAGCCCCUUAGCAAAUCCCUUUAUUUUCAAAAUAAAAAAUGACGAAGUUUUAUUUCUUGCCUAUUGCUGUUUUUCUCGUAGAUUUCAUUCAUGGGUGAAAACUUGGGGGAGUGUAAUAGAAGUAACAUAUGUAAUAGUGAUAGGAUUGCUAAGAAUGGGGUAAAUUGGAAUGCCUGAGAAUCUCAUAUCCGUAGUAAAAAAGUGGACUACAUUAGGAAUUAGAGGAUUGGUAAAAAGCCCUAAGCUAAGCCAAGCUAAGCUAGGCCUUUUUUUAGCCCGAGAAAAUUUUUUUAUAAGAUUUUGUUAUUAGAUUUUGGCUGAGCUAUUUGUACCCUAAAAUAUAUUUUAAAUACUCACUUUCUUAUAACACCCAAUUAUGGAUUAUCAUAUUAAAAAAAUGUAGGUUUUACUCACUCAAACCAUUAAAAUGACAAAAUUAUCUUAAUGUUUUUUCUUCUCUAAUCCUCUUUCUUUCACCCUUUUUUUUCUCAAGAAUCUCCAAAACAUCACUUAACAUCAAAAUCUCUCACAACUUAAAAGCUCAACCACAUCGAUGAAAAAAUAUCUUCUACUAAUGUGAUGCUCUUAUAGUAACUUGUUAGAAUUUUUUUUGCUUUAACUAAAAUACUUGCGCAAAAGAAAAAUUCACCUUUUUCAAUCUAUAGUUGUUUUAUUUAUGUAUAGUUCUUAUUAGAUCUAUAUUUCAUAAGCACUGAAAAUUUUAGUGGAAAUAAAUGAUUAAUUGAACGGCGUUUGGUUGUUUCUAGGAUUUUAGGAUCCUGCUAAGUUACAGCCAAAAGCCAAGACUUUAAAUUUCUUUUAACUUCCUUUACGGGUAGAAGAAACAACAAGGAAGCAGACUUUCUCAUACUGCUUUUCAUUAGGCUUCUCCAUAUAGCGUGUUUGUGACAUAUUCUUGGUUCAUCACGUUGAGGAUUAAUCGUGAUCUAGAUAGAUUUCUUUUUGACAGCCAUGUUACGAAAUCAAGAAGACGAUAGAUGUAGAAGAGCAUGUAUGGAAGAACGAUAAUUGAUUUUAAUAUUCUAGUUGUCUUCAGUAGCAAAUUACUCCAUGAAUAUUUUAGUAGUAAAAAAUUUAAUAGAAAAAUAGGUGUUCAGGAUAUUUUUCAAGGUGUAAAAAGUCUCAUCUUAAAUUUAUUUACUUCACAUUCAAAAACUAGAAAAAUUACUAUUUACAAUUGACUACUUACUUGCUACGUGAUAAUCCAAAAAAUAUAUCUACUCCAUAUAUCAUUCGUUCCGGAUAAUGUUUUGAUUCCAUUGCCUGUCCUUUGCUUUUAUUUUUUCGGCGAUAAUAAGCCAGCAAAAAAUUGACGUAUAGCCCGACAAGAUGAAAUUGAGAACUCAUUGUCAUUUUCUUUUUUUCUUUUUUCCAAAGUGUUUCACUUUAUUGCAAUCCAAAAUGGUAGGUAGUCUAGUCAAGGCCCCCAAAAUGUCCUUUGCUUUUAUUUUUUCGAAUUGUUAUUAUACAUACAUACAUAUACAUAUAUAUGAAAUCUGAUGAGAUUUUUUAUAUAAAUAUUUAUAAUAUAGUCUAGAGAUUUAUUGAACAUUAAUUUUGAAAUUAUAUCUCAAAUAUAAAGAGAGAGAAUGAGUUUCAAUAUCAUUUGAAAUACCUAUAAUUACCCAUUUGACUGGCCACCUGAGUUCAAAUCUUAGAGAUUAGGACGUAAGGGUAAAAAAUUAAAUUUGGACAAACCCUUCACUUUAAAAAAAUUUAAAAAAUAAAUAAAUAAGCCACAUUUUUAUAAAUAAAAAAUUAAUAAAACUUUUUUUAAUACAAAACGAGUAUAUUAAACGACAUUUAUGGCUUAAUUAAAGUGAAACGCACUUUUGACAUAAAAUUCCAUGACUCUAGGCAUAGUCUUGGCCAAAUUAUUAAAUGUAAAUAAAUUUACGUAAAGUAUGUCCUAGCUAAUUUAUGCGGUUGUUUUAUAUUUUAAAAGAACAAACGUUACCAGUUUUUAUUUAUUACAGAUCCAAAAUUUAUUUAAGGGGCCACAAUGUAAAAAAUUAACUGAUUAUGACAGUUUAGGAAUUGACUAAAAUUAAAUGUUAAAUUAAAAAAUCGAGAUAAAUAAUAAUAUUUUAAAAAUAAACGUUUAAUUUCUGUACCACACAGAGCCUAUAAUUGUCAAAUUAAAAUGGAAAAGUUUGCAACCAAACGACAUAUUCAUGAGAGAGCGAAAAUUCCGUUUAAGUUAUGCCUGUCGGGACGCACCAAGAUCAAAUUUCAUAUGAAGUAUGUUAAGACCUUGAAUCUUUUUAGGUUUGGCAUCUUAUGGCAAUAAUGUUUAUAUAAGGAGUCUUCUUUAAUUAUAUUUCCCAUAUAAAUUAGAAUUAUGACUAAUUUGCUAUGGUUUGAAUUAAAAUCCUAUGUGGAGAAUUAUGACUUAUUGAAUUAAAAUUAAUUUCCCUCAAGUGAACGAUUCAUAAGUGUAUUUUCGUAUUUGCAAGCAAUUUGAGACGGUGUAUGCUGAGUAUAGAGAGGAGAUUAAUUAUUCAAUUAUGCUAAUGAGAGCUGUAAAACAUGUCGUGUCAUUGAAUGAUCCAUGAUCGUCGUGAAAACUUUAGGCCCAUUCAUGCAUAGGUUGUAGCAUCUUUUUCAAGGAUUUUUCAUUUGUUCCCGUGCUAUUCAUAAAAUUUCAGGGUGUGUUUGGUAUUAUUUUUUAAAUAUUUUAUAUUAAUUUUAUUUAUAUUUGUCUAUGUUACAACAGUUGUAAAAUAGUAUUAUUUAAUUUUACAAUAUAAAUAUGAUUAAUUUUAGUGAAUAUGAAACUUAUUUUGAUAAUUUAUUUUAAAAUAGUAUUAUUUAAAAAAUAUAAAAUAAAUUUUGUGUAGGACUCAUUUCUUUUGUCUUAUUUAAUUUAUUAUGAAAAUUUAAAUACAAAUGAAAGUUACGUGGGUUCACGAUAAUUAUGAUACAAAUAAAACAAUAAGAAAAAAGUGCCCAGGUGCACUUACAAGGCAAAUGUUGUCAAAAGACAACAAAAUGUUGUUCUCUACUUUUCUUCAUUAAAAGUAUAAAAUAAUAUAAUUUAUUUUUCACCAAAUACAUUUUGGAAAAGAGUUAUUUUUAAAUACCUCCCCUGAAGUUUGAUAUAAUUUCAGUUAGAUGGCGAGAUUGAAUAUAUUCUCACUUACCUCCCCUAUCGUUAGUAUAUAUAUGAGUUGACCGUUAGUUGAUUUGAAAAAUAACUAAAAUAUCCAAAUCAAUUGUUCAACCCAAAUUUUUGGCACCAACAAAGUAAGGGUACUUUUUACCAAAAAGGCCCAAUUAUUUCGUUUGUGGACGAAAAUAGCCUGCCAAACAUAUACCUUCUCUUCUCUCCAAAUUCAGCCUAGGUCUUAAGUUUUCCGAUGACAAGCGACGGCGGUUGGACAGGCGUUUGACAGCAAGUUUAUCUCCAACAACACAUGGCUCUACUUCUGCCAUUUUAGCUACAAUAUUUCACGUUAGUUUCUGGUAAUUUUGGCAUGCCUUACAUUGUAAAUUCUUAUUGUUUUUCGUUGCCUAAGAUUGAUUGAUGACAGCUGAGUGUAUAGAUGAUUAUAGAUGAGCAUUAGGAUUGAUUGUCGCGUAAAUAUUAAAAAUAGUUUAAUGAAAUUGGUAGUUAAUAACUGGGCACAGGAGGUGCUCGAUAAAAUGCUUGUUAGGGUUUGUUUGUCUCAUUUUAGGUAGAUUAAGUUGUUGAUGGUGCAUUCAUGCGAUGUCUUGUUUCAAUGACACACUUGCUGUGAUUUUAAGCAACAGGUACCUGCCUCCCUGGCGACAGGUGCUUGUCUUCCUAAAUAACGAAAAGUUGUUUCUGUAAUUUUGAGCGAUGAAUGCUUGUCUCUCAGAAGACAGAAAUUUUCGCGUGAAAUCAUAUACCAGUCUCCAAAUAUAUUGGCAGGGAUUCCAUCACUACCAAACCAGCAAUAUUUGAGUUGUUUAAAGAAAUAAGUAAAUUCCAAACCAUCAAGUUGUAUUAAAUUGACAUGUGCAUUUUCGUAGCUUAAAAUUGGUGACAGUCACAAUUGAUCGAAUUUCAUCAGCCUAUACAUCCAGCAGUCAAACAUAUACACAAAAAGAACAACUACACUAACAGUGCUCCAACAAAUUCAUUAAACUCUCCUUCGCUAUCAGCGUGAGGCAAAUCAUUUUCAAUAUCAUUUUUCUGUAGGUUUAUCCGCAUAGCCAUCUCCAUCGUCAUUUGUUGGCAUCCUCUCAAGAGAAUCUUCUGUUGUUGUCACUUGCUCAAUGUGAACCUCAUCAUUUAAAUCAGGGAGAGUAAAUUCAUUAUCGUCUGCUAAGUCAAACCAGUUAAUUUCUACUGCAGGUUCCAGUGGAACGACAGACGGUUUUGUUGAACCUUCGUCCCUAUAAUAUGUGAAUAUGCAGAUGUUAAUAAGUGAAAGCAAAGUAAUAAUUAAUAUGGCAAUUAUCUACUGACCACCCAUUUUUUUGCACUUUUUUAAAAAUAAACAAUUCUUAAUUUUUUUUUCCUAAACUCUACUUGAAGUUAUAUUAUUUUGCACAUGUUUACUUCCGUCUUCAAACUGUUAAGAGAACUAACGGAGUAUUGUAUAAAUGAUCUUUUUACCCCCAAAUGUGAAAGAAAAAUUAUCCACUGACCACUUUUUUCUCUCAUUUUUUCAAAAAUGGACAAUUUUUAAUUUUUUUUUGCUGAACUCUACUUGAAGUUGUAUUGUUUUGCACAUGUCUACUUCUAUCUUCAAACAAUGUUGAUGUAAAAUGACAAUUUUACCCUUAUGAUGUCAGCAAAUUUCUAACAAUGUUAUAACGGGAGUGGACCAGUGAAAAAAAUGUUAACUUCAGGUGGAGUGCUAUCAAAUCAAAAAAGAUUUGUGUAUUUUUGAAAAAGCUACCAAAAAUAGGUGGUCGGUGGAUUAUUACCCUAAUUAAUAAUUAAUAAUAAUAAUAAUAUUACUAAACAACAACAAUUACAAUAAUAAAGAAAAAUAAUGAUAAUAGUAAUACAUUUUAAUACAGAUAUUAAUAAUAAUUGUAAUAAUAAUAAUGUGUGUGUGUUUACUAUUUCUAUUUUGAAUUAAUAUUAAGCACAAACUAUGUUUUUUGGGCGACAGGCAUGUCACACGAGGGACAGACUCUAUCGCCUAAAAAAGCAUAAACUACAUUUGUGCAACAGAUUCCUAUCGCCCAAAAACACAUAAUGUAUGUACGUGCGAUAGGAGCAUGUCACCGCCCAAAACACAGAAACAGUGUUUUUGGGCGACAUGGGUUGUCGCACGGGCUAUAAGCUUUUGUCUCCCAAAAGCACAGACACUGUGUUCGGGCAACAUAAGCUUGUUGCAUAGGCGACAUCCCUUGUUGCCCAAAAACACAGAUUCUGUGUUCGUGCGACGUGAGCCUGUCGCCCGUCGCUUAAAAACAAAGAAAUUGUGUUUGUGUGACAGGCGCACAAAAACACUGUAAAUUCAUAAAUAGAUCAACUUUAACAAAUUUUGGCCGGAAAAAUAAAAAUUGCAGUUAAGACUACUUUUAUUUUACAUACCUAUUUGCAUAAAAAUCACAAAUUAUUAGCUUUAUAUGCCUUAUUACAUUAUGUAUGGUGUAAAGUACAAACAAAAACAACCAAUAACAAUUUUUUUUUUUCAACUCAUUCCCACAUAUGGCUAAAUCCAUUCUCAUUUUAAUCAAUGUUUCCACCACCAACCCAUGAACAAGACAAAUCAAACACAACCAACAACCACUUAUGAAAUCUCCAAAAAAAGAAAAUCAAAGGUAUUUAAAAAUUGUAGACUUUAAUAAAGUAACUAACCUCUUACAAACUCCAAUACCAGUGGCAUAUCCCAGCCGUCGUCAAUCGUCACCGGUCGGUGGCCUUCUCCGACAACCCAUACUUGUCUUUUUCAAGGGUUAUAUAUACUCUUUGUGUUUAUUUACCUUUGUUACAACAACUGAGAGCAAGGGAGUAGAGUGAAAAAUGCUUUGAUUAUUGAUGUGAGAGCAAGACAUCUCCAUUGCUUUUUUGUGCUGGAGAAAGAGAAAAUUUAUUCUUUUACACAAUGGAUAUUUAGUGUAAUCGGAUAAUACAAUUAUCCAAUGAAUUUCAAAUCAUUUUUUAUUAUUACUUGAUUUUUUUAGAUUUUUAACAUGUUUUUAUAUUUUUGCCCUCAAAUACUAAUGUUAUACGUGUAUGCAUACUAACGGCAGAGGAGUUAAGUGAGAAUACUUUCAAUCUCGCCAUCCAAUUGAAAUUAUAUCAAACCUUAGGAUAGGUAUUUAAAAAUAACUCUCUUAGAAAAAUGUCCCAAAACAAAAAAUGACUUACCAAAAACAAUAUCAAACUAAGCAAUUCCCUUCAUUUUCAAAAUAAAGAAUAAUAAGUUUUCUUACUUGCCAGUAGCCGUGUAGAUUCCAUUCAGGGGUGAAAAUAGAGAUGGCUGAGGGCCGAGUUGCAUGUGGCAUGGUUCUGAGCAAGUGUUCGUACAGUAUGGCACGGCUGGACACAGAUAGAGACUAGGCUAGGUUAUGGAUCUUAAAAGCACGAUACGAUUAGAGAUGCGGUAAAACAAGACACAUGAAAAGACCUAUAAUAAACACGUUUCAUAAGUAGGUUAGCAUACGGCCAUAACUCAAUCCUCUAUUUUGUUAACAUCAAAAGAAAAAACAAAUCUUGCGCACUGGUAUAAUACUCUUAUAUUAACUUGUUAGAAUUCUUUUAUACCAACUAAAAUAUUUACACACACGAAAAAAUUUACCUUCUUCAAUUUAUACGCAUCUACAAUCCUCUAUUUUGAAUUGUAGGUUUAAUUUUCACUUAUUUACUUAAAAAAAGCACCGUUUUGAAGGUAAAGCCUAAGUUACGUUUUAUGUAACUUACAACCUAGCGAAUCUGAGGACGUUGAAUGUGUUUUGAUUUGAAUUCAAUGGAUGAUAUUAAAAUUAUUGAAAAGCAGUAGCAAGUGAUAAACUGGCUAAACCGGUUAUUUCAAGUGAUGGGCUACUUGAUUGAACGAUUUAUUCUUAGAAAAAGAAUAAAUUUUCUUUUUAUCCCUCGUCUUCUUCCUCUUCCAUCCAACCAAUCACUAUAAGAAAACAAGCAAUAGAUGAUGGAAAAUAACUAUCAUAAAAAGGGGUGUAUGACAGACAGUUCAUCCGUCAUCUAUGUCACUGUCAUUAAUUUAUGACAGAAUAUUUUUCAUCAUGAAUUCAUGAUAGCAUUUCAUAGUCAUAUAUCUGUCACACAAUAUUUUAAUAUAAAACAAAAAUUAAAUUUUUUUAAAUUUUCACGCCAUUUUUUUUAAUUUUUAGUAGGAAAUUCAAUUAUUAUUUGAAAAUUUAUUAUUCAAUUUUGGCAGGAAAUUAUUUAUGAUAGAAUAUAUGAUGCCUUUUUCCAUCAUAAGGUUUUGAUUUUUUUCUAAAAUUAUAUUAUAAUUAUAAUUUAUUGAUGAAUUCCUAUUUACAAAUUUAAUUAAUUAACAAAAAAAUUAAAAAUUUAAUAUCAAUUAACAUUCAUUCAAUCCAAAAAUUAAUUUAAAAAUAAAUACAUCUAAUAUCCAAUGUGAUCUCCACAAAUACAUAAUAAAACAUCCCAAAUUGAAAAAGUCAUCCCAAAGCAUAAAAUUACAGUCAAAUUCCAACCAAACUCUAAGAAAAGCAAUAAUAAUUCUGACCACCAAGCCACGUUACCCAACAAAACUUCUAAAGAUUAAUGCAAGUACUCCAACAAUAAGAUUUCUAGCAAGACUUCCUGUAAAAAUUCCAGCAACAAUACCAUCUUCCGAUAGCACUCUAAACAAAAAUUGAAACUUACAAAGCGACUUGCAAGCUUCCAGUGAACAAAUUUGAUUCAAACACCAAGCAGAAUAAGGAAAAUUAAGAGGCUGCAAUACAUGUGGGCAUCAAAUAUAGUAAUCUAUUUGAUUUAAACUGACUUCACUUUUAUGGAAUUAGCAAAAUGUACGUACUCAAUGGAUUAAAAUUACUUUUGGGGAAUGGGAAUUCAUCAAAAUCAGCAAGCUAGCUAAAAAUGCAAAGGAAGCCACAACAAUAGACCAGUGUGAGGAGACAAAAAUAGAUCAUAAAGUCAUAAAAUGCAAUGGCAUCCAGAUCCAGCUGAACUGAUCAACCAAUGAAACGGAAACAAACAACCAACUUUGACAAGCUUAUCUCAACCAACAACACCAAUUCUAGGCCUGUAACUUGCCUACAUAUUUAGAGCUGAAUUGUAAUUUUACCUCAUCAAAAAUUCAGCACAAAAUCAAGAAAAAGGAAAAAAAAACAAAAAAUCUCAUACUGUUGAGUAGGUAACUAACAAGCUCAUGUUGGCCAAAUUUUAAUUGAUGGAAGCAGUUUUGGUUAGUCACUGUUUUACAGUCAUGUACUAAACAAACUAUUAAACAUAACAAUUAGGCUCUUAAUACGUCAACUCAAUUGUAUUCAUCAUAUUUGAAAAUUUAGAAUUAAGAAAAGCUUACGCACUUUGACGCCAGUGAAAAAUGAUCGCAGGAUAUAGGAUUUUAUAGCAAGCUUAAAAAUGAUAAUUAAUUUGGAUAAUCACAUAAUUAAAAAAAUAAAAAAGGUAAAAACUUACCGAUUACCACAAGCGCCGAUGACAAGAACGGUACUCCUAGCCAUCGAUAAAACUUUCACUGCUUCUUAACCAAAGUUAUUUCUAUAAACAAACUCAAUCAAGUAACCUGAAACAAAGCAAAACCAAAACCAUAAUUCCACAACAAUAUGAAAUUCCCACAUCAACAUAUAGCACUUGAUUUAAUUGUUAUAACUAAGUCUACGAUAUCUCUAAGUUUUCAUCAUAACCACCUAAACAAACUAGUACUGACAAGGCCCACCAAGUCAUCUUCCUGCUCCUGCCUGCCAGAGUACCUGAAAAAAAAAAUCAAUAGAGAAUGUCAUAAUGCAGCAAUAAUGAAAGCAUAAAAAACACAAUAAGAGUACAAUAAAUAAAUUUCCUCAUUAGGGUUGAAAAGGAAAUAAAUAAUAUUUAGCCAAUUAAUAUUUCUAGCUUCCAAAUUUAGUAGCACUCUCAGAUACAUGGAUGAGAAGAGCUAAAAAACAAUGACCUAAAAUUACUAAAAUUUCCAAAUGCGUUUGCGUAGAAUUGACUACAACCAAUCAAUUUAAGGUUUUCUAAGAACCAACCAACCUUUUCUUAGUUUUCAACAGUACCACUUGGUCAGCAAUAUCACUGGAACACUCACAAAAUUUUAUAGCACUAAACAUAACAAAUUUGAUGAGUAUUUGACCUAAUAACCCUAGCGGACAUUCUAGAUUUAUCUUCUACUACAACAUGAAAUGCAGAUUUGUAAUUAAUAGAGGGAAAAUACAAUUGUGAAGAAUUAUGGAAGGCUUUUGUUAUUCAACAAUUCAUACGUUCCAAUACAAAAAGCAAUUAAAGAAGAUUUAUGUUGUCUUCCUUUCUAUAUCCAGCAAAUUCAGACAUUAAAAAGAGAAGUUACAGUUAGUAAUAAUUAAAUCCCAAAAGCUAACAGAAGAACAGUUCACUCAAAGUUAUACCACAAGACUACUAGCUUUCUCGUACUCCAAAAAAUAGAGAAAUAGCACAACAUAAAACCCUUAAAUUAACAUGCAUCAUAGGUUAAUAUACAUAUAACAGCAUCAUCAAACGAAACAAACUAAAAUUUGAUAGUAAUAAGCAUCAACUGAAUUUCUCAUUAUUCAUCAAACUGGAAGAGUCAAUUCAUAGAAAAGCAUGCCUACACAACAACAUAUCUACAACUCCUUAUGUAUCUCGUUCUCGCAAGUGAUGUUAGUGAAGAAGGAGAAUAUCGAGCGUGGAAAGCGUGAGAGGAAAAUUCUAGAAGGUCGUUGAGGAACGGUAUUGAUUUCGGCGAUAAACUAAUAGUGGUGGUAAAGUAACGACGGCUGGCUGGGCUGAAGCUUGACAUGAUGGUAGAGGAGCGAUAACGAUGACCAAGAUGAGUGGCGGCAACAAGUCAGCGACGUACAUAAUGGUGGCCAGUUUCGUAGUCAGUGGCUGAAGCUUAAUGACGGCAGAGCAGUGGCAGCAGUGAAAUCGAAGAGCAGCAGGGGAACAGAGGCAGCAACUUAACUAGUGUGUUUAAUUAGGUUAGAUUUAGGGUUCACUUUUUCAUUUUAUACUUUAGAAAUUAUAUAGUGUAAUUGUUCACAUAUUAAGUAGCGAAUUAUAAGUUGACAUGUGGUUAAGUGAAAAAUAAUCAUUUGUGAUAAAAAAAAAUAAUUCUAUCAUAAAACUAUCAUUAAUUUAUGAUAAAAAAAUAAUUCUAUCACAAACCCAUCAUUAAUCCUUGAUAAAAAAUAAUUCUAUCAUAAAAACAUCAUUAAUCCGUGAUAGAAAAUAAUUUUAUCACAAAGCCAUCAUUAAUUCAUGAUAGAUUAAAAAUUAUGUCACAAGUCUAUCAUAAUUAUAUGAUAUACCCAGAAUCUGUCAUAAGUUUUCUUGUAGUGAAUUUUCUACAGCAAAUUUAGCCGGCUAGCUACAAAUUUUAAACAUUUAUUAUCAUAAUUAUUUCUAUAACUUAAUUCCAAUCCCCUUUUUACUUAGAAUUUCUCAUGCUUUUAGGGAUGACAAAAUCCUCAAAGGGUUUGGGGCCCCAUGAAGCCCCAACCCAAAUGGGAAAAAAUUUGAAUCAUUUUUGGGUAAUGGGGUGGGGAGUGGGGAAAAAUAAUCCUCAAAUUCUUAACGGGGUGGGGUUUGGUUUUGUACUUCCCACCCCACCCCCACCCUCACCCUCACCUCAAUCCCCAUUAUAUAUAAAUAUGUUUUUAAUUCUUAUUUAAUAAUUUUUAUUUUAUCAACUAUUCAUAAUUUUUUUAUUUUUAUGUAAUAUAUACAUAAUAUGAAUAAAAGAAAAUCCUACAAUAUAAUUCUUUUUCAACUUUAAAACAUUGUUCUGUUUUCCUGCUCUCUUCAAACAUUUUUCAGUUUUGAGAGUAUUUUAAGAUAUUGUUUCAAACUUUUAGAGAUUUUUUUUAAAAUAAUUUAAAUACUGUAUAAUAUGGUAAUAAUUUUAUUUUAAGUCUCUAAUUUUUAAUUUAUUAAAACCAUGUAUUUAUACCUACUAUAAAAUUGACAAAUAGGGAAUGGGGUGGGGAUGGGAAAUCAUUCCCCAUAUGGGGAUUCCCCAUCCCCACCCCACUAAAUUUAUUGAGGAAUGGGAUAGGCCUCCCCACCCCCACCCCACCCCAUUGCCAUCCCUAAAUGCUUUAUAACUUGUGUAAUCCAUGAACAAAUUUUGUUGUAAAACUAAUAAAUAAAUAUUUCCAUUCUGUCAUUAAUGUUACUUCCUGCGUCUGAUUAAUUUUCCUUCUUUUUUUCUUCUUUUAGUCCAUUCUUUGAUUUUGAAUCAUGAUUGCAGUUAAUUCGGUCUAAGUGUUUUCUAUGUACUCAAUUUUUUGUCCAUUUAAUUAGCAUUGUUGAACAGUGAUUAAGUUGUAAAUUUUAAUCCUUUCAUGCUUUAAUCUUAAGCUUUGAAUUGAUGAAACAAACCCAUGCUCCAGCUUGUAUAAGUAUGUGUUUAAUAAAGGAAUAAUUAGGUCAUGAACUUGUGAAUUUUUUAGUUUCUUAAUAGAUUAAGGUAUUUUAGGUAAGAUGUUUGAUGAAAUGCCUACGUAAGUUUUAUUGAUUUCAAAUUGAAGGCCUAAGAGUAGUUGGUUAGAUCUAGUGAUAAGAAUCAUCUGAUCAAGUAGGGAAUAUAAGUCUUGAGUAUUGAAGAGAAUUUUUGUUUGUGGACUUGGUUGAAGAUUUUAUUUUGGUGGAUUAAGGCAUUGGUUUUUGAAGGCAUUGACGGAGGAGCAGUUUAUACUGAGAGUUCCGCCUUCAGUGGAGUUUGGAGUAAGAUUUGGAAGCUGGAUGUGCCUGCCAAAGUCAAGAACUUUCUUUGGAGAGCUGUGGCAAAUGUGGUUCCCCCUGCUGAUAACCUUAUUAGUCGUCGAGUCGAGGUACACCCUCAUUGUACUAUCUAUAAUGCAUCUCCUGAGACAACUUAUCAUGUCUUAGUUGAUUGUCCUUUUGCCAAACAAUGUUGGAUGGUUUCCUUGGUUGGUUUUGCUGAAAGCUUUGUUAGUUUUGGUGCUUGGUUGGAUGCUCUAUUUACUCGAUGCAGUGUUGAUGAUAGCUGUCUUGCUGCAAUGGUUUGUUGGGGCCUUUGGCAGAAUCGGAAUAAUAAGGUUUGGAGGAAUGUAGUAGGUAGAGUGCCUCAAGUUCUCAACAAAGUUGGCCAAGACUUGUUCCAAUGGCAAAAGGCUCGUCAACUGAGUCACUUUACUCAGGUACCUGCAGAUUUAAACCUUGGCUCUAUUUGCUGGAAAUGCCCUCGCUUUGGAUGGUUUAAAUGCAAUGUGGACACUGCUACUUCCCGAGCUACUGCUAGGAUAAGCUACGGAGCAGUUAUCCGAUCUUCUGAGGGUAACUUCCUUGAUGCAAAAUGUGGUUCUUUGAUUGGAAAUUUUGAAGCUCGCGAGGCAGAGGCUUUGGGUGUGCGAGAGGUCUUGAGUUGGCUUAAGAACACCCAAUUUUUUCCUGUUAUUAUUGAGACUGAUUGUUUACAAGUUUUUAAUGCUUUGAUUGAUUCCAAGGACUAUCAUAAUGGGUUUGGACUUAUUAUUUCAUAUUGUAGAGCCUUGGCUCAUUGCUUAAAAGAGGUGACUUUCUCUUUUGUAAGGAGAUCUGCGAACACCGCCGCCUAUGUUGUGGUUAAGGUGGGGUGUUCUUUGUCAGGUCCGGGUGAAUGGAGACAUGUUCCACCACCUUAGUUACUUUCUCAUUUGUCUGUUUAAUGAAUUUCUCCUUUUCUUUAAAAAAAAUGUAUAGUCUUACAUCGUUCAUAAUAACUAACAUCGUUUAUAAUAAUUAAACUUGCUCAUAUAUCUUCUUAAACAUUGGAUGAGUCUGUGAUGAACAAGAUUACUGAGAUUUGAGAGUUUGUUUACAUUGGUGAACUUACAAGUGCCAUAACAUACCACCAAUAUAUGUCCUUAUAAACAACCUCCUCGUAAUCAGUAGAACAAUCCUUGAAAAAAAAAUAUUUAUAUUGCUUAAAACAUAGUUAUAAUGGUGAUGACAUAAUUUAUUUGAGAAUAACCACAUGAGAUGAGAUUAGUAGUUUCUUAAAGAUUUUUGAAUUUUUAUAGAUAAUUUAGGGUGCAUUUGGGAUUGAGGUUAGGUAAAACUACAGCAUUAAAGUGUUUGGUAAACACCAGCUGCUGUAGCUUGGAAGAUAUGCUGAUAUGAUUUUUCACUUAUAUGAUGGAAAAUCUACUAUAUCUUUUAAAUUUUGUCAAAAUUUUUAUUUAAAAUUUUUAUUUACUAAAUAUUACUAACUUUUGUUUUAUAAUUAUAGUUUUUUUUUUACAACAGCUGUAACUUAAAAGCUACAACACCUCAAUCUCAAAUGCACCCUUAACUUAUUAUGCAUUGAAAUAUGUACCAUCACUAUACCAAUUAAGAAAUAAAUUAAAUGAAUCAAAAUUAUUUUAAAUAAAAGUAAUUCAAUUCAAAUAAAGUUGAUAUUAUUAGAAAAAUAGCAGUGAGUUAACAAUUAAAACAGUAGCUAAUAUACGUGAAAUUAAUUGGUAACAAUAUUAAACAGCAGUAAGAACAUCAACUGGAAUUAAACAACAGGAAAAACAGCAACUGGAAAUCAAACAACGGGUAAAAAAAAUAACGAAACAAAGAGAAUAACCCGAGGCCUGUAACACAGUUUCCUUAAAACAGAUUUACCACCUACUGUAGUGCUUAAGGUUUGCUAGUAACUAUUUCCCAAGAUACAACGGGUGCGAAUUAUCUAUCAAGCACAGAUAAAUAAUUCCGGCGAACCACAAUAACGUACAAACUCGAUCAAAAACAGGACAUUAGGAGGAGGAAAUAAAUUUUUAAGUGCUCUAUGUGCUGGUUGUUCUGUAUCAAAAAUAGAAAAGGAAGCAGCUGCCUUUUUAUACACAUGUGAGUAUGUAACAGUAGCAUAAAAUUAAAUUUCUGAAUUCAAUAUUAUGCGAUUUAAUGUUGUAACAGCCAAUUGAAUUUAAACAAUUCAAUUCAGCCUAUUGAAUUCAAAAGUUGAAUUGCAUAACAGCCCAAAAAAUAAUUGCGAAGCUGUUACAAAUCCUUUGAAUUCAAAAAAUUUAAAAGGAAAUUAAAAACAUUCCAUGCAAGCUUGGGUGAUUUUGGGCUGACAUUUACGUGCGCAGGACGCGCACGAGUUCAACCAAAUCGGUCUUGGAUUCACACCCCCCUGUGCACGCGCGUGUAGAGAGAGUCUCUAUCCUUAUAAUUCUUGCUCAUACAUGGGUAAGUGUCUAUAUAUAAAUACAAAUCCCUUGGCUUAUUUUUCCCUUAUGGGAUAAGCCUCAUUUCCUUUCAAAUUUCCAACUUCAAAGGUGCACUUUGAGAGACAAUUUUUCAUUCACCCAAGCACCAUUUUGAGUAAAUAAAUAUACAAUUUCAAAGUAUUUACGGAGCAAAAUCCGAAUAUCACAAAGUUUCUCACUUUCGCUAAGUGGGACCUACUCAAAAUGUGCCCUCAAAAUAGCAUAUUGAUAUACUAUUUUUCAACAGAUAUGACAUAUAAAAAAUUAAAAUAAUUGAUAUUUUUAAUUAUAAUAUUUGAAUCAUGUUGUAUAUUGGAGAAUAAAGAAAAUUAUAUUCUUACUAUGAGUAUGACAUUGAACCUGAAAAAUCAUUACCAUUAAAGUAUGACCAUUAACUUAAAAUUGUAAUCAUUAAACCUAAAAUCAUUGAGUAUUGCAUGAAACCAUUAAUAUUGAACCUUAAAAAUACAUGAAACUAAUGCUACACAUGAAAUUUAAGAUCACUAACUUAAAAUUAUAAUUAUGAAAUAGGGCAUUACAUGAAAUCAUUGUCAUUGAACCUGAUAAUUCUACCAUUAAACGUGGAAUCAAUGCUAAUAUGAAGUCUAGGACCAUCAACCUAAAAUUGAAAUCAUUAAAUUUUGAAUACUUUUAAAUUAAGUUUAAUCUACCUUUGUGGCGAGUACAUUCUAUGGGCUUAAAAAAAUAAAAAAAUAAAACUUAUUUUAGCAUUUAAAAUUGAUUUAAAUAGUGUAAAGGAUAAUAUCUAAUAAUAGUAUUAAAAAUCUUAAUAUUUAAAUUUCAAUUAUAUGAAUCAUUUUUUGUAUAUAGAAUAUCCAUAUAUAUAUAUAUAAGAAAAGAAAUUCAGAUGGCACAAACACUAUAAUUCCAGUAAGUUAUCUGCAACCGACUAUAAUGGGUGAAAAGGAUUUUGUUACCGGACUGGAACCAGACGAACCAAUUAUCAAAUCAUUAAACUUUUACACAUGGCGCGCUCUUAAGAAGUCUUUUGUCACAUCAUGGACUGUUACAUACAUAAGCUAUAACGUAGAGAGAUCCCAUUUUGAAUUGAGGAACCAUGAUUAGUUUGCUUUUUGGUAGCCAAAAUUAAGAGAUCGAUCAUAGGGUCCAACUACUUUGCGUCAUGGGUUUGGUACCCCAGUCGCUUGUCUUUUAAUGAAUGCAUAAUGCCCCUUUAGAUAGCCAACAAAGGAAUUUGAGGGAUGAGAUUUAACCAUUGGAAAAUGGGUACGAACUGAAAGAGUUUCAGUAAAAUAAAAAGAAAAACGGUGCCAAUAUUCUCACCACAAUGAGAACUAUAGUGAGCACAGAACGGUGCGUUUUGUGCUCACUAUAAAUUCUUACUGUAGUGAGAAUCUCACGCAACACACACGCAUCGUAAGCCCACGCGCGUACUCCUUCUCACUCUCGCCAAAUCUCACCUCACUCAAGCCACAACUCUCACCACCAAUCGAUUCUCCCUCACCACAUUCCGUUCUUAUCAUCGGCUCUCUCUCUUCCCCGUCGAUUGUGUCUUGCUCCUUCACACUGCCUCACUCCUUCGGAUGUCUCAAAAAAUUGACUUGCCGCUUCACUCUCUCGACUUCACUCGCCAUAAUUGAUUUCUGGAGGUAAUUUGUGUCAUUAAUUCCAAAAUUUAGUUCUCUAGGAUUAUGAAUUUGUGAAGAUUCAGCUGCCAUUGUAUUAAUUUGUGUUAAGAGUAUCUGUCGUCAAGUUUGCAGUGUACUAGGCAAGUCAGUUUAGUUUUGUGUCUGGAAACAAGGACACUUAGCUUAGUGAGUUUUAUGCCAUUGUACUGAUUCAUUCGAGGAAGCUUAAAGAGAGGAAGCUUUUGUGCUGUCAGUAAUGGCUUACUUGCAUAGGAUAUGAAUUGGGUGGCUUGCUUUUUAUUUGUAUUUUUUUAUUCUCGAUGCCGAGCUUCAUAUUGCUGAAAAUUAAAUUUAGAUAGAUUGAUUUGUAAUUGCAUUUUUUUAUUCUUGAUGCUGAGCUUUAGAUUGCUAGAAAUUAGACAAAAAAUAUGUAUUUUUUUAUUUGCGAUAAAUUUAGAUAAAUUGACUCUUAUAUAUGACCUUAACAUUUGAUUUGCAAUUUUGCAGGAACAAAGCACUUUCAUUCAAAUGAGGACUGUCUUAAAAGUUGUGGACAAUUUAGUGGUGAAAAUGAUGAUAUGCAUACAAUUUCUAAAAGGGAAGAAAGUGGCAAGAUUGGGGGACACAAUUGUUGUAUUGGUAAAAGAAGUUAUACCUAAUGCUAAAGUGAAGAAAGGCAAGAUUGUGAAAGUUGUUGGGCUGUUGUUGUUCGUGCUACCAUGCAUCAUGGUCAUUGUGAUUGAAGUGUUGUCAAAUUUGAUGACAAUGCUACAGUGCUAUGGUUUUUAUUUAGGAAAAAGAAAAUCAUCAGCCAAGACGGCAGCCUGGCCAAUAGGAAAAUGAAUAUUUGGGCCAAUCCCACAUGAGCUGAAGAAGAAAUCUCAGUUUGGUGUCCUUGCUUUUGUAGAGCAUUCUGCCUGAUUUUCAUGAUAGAUUUUGAUCUCUAAGCUUUUGGUUCCUAUUAUUAUGUUGACUGAUACACACAAAAUUUCACAAUAUUUACUGUUAAAUCAUUUGGUUUCUUGAGGCAAAUAAAAGCCAUCAUCUUCACUCUUGAAAACAAAGCUUUUCCUUUAUCUUUUCUUUGUUACAGUAUGAUUCUUGACCUAUUGCUCUGUGCAAUUAUCUUAUCAACCACAAUUGGAGUUAGUAAUAGCUUUAGAUUAUUGAUGGAAUGUUUACAUACCGUUAAUCUUCUUUGAGCAAAGUAAUGCCUGAGCUAUAGUAAAGUACUGAUGAAAGUAUGACCAUUAAUAUUUUUCUAUAAAAAAAUGUUCAUCUCGGCCAAAAUCACAGUAAUAAAAUAACUCCGGAGAUGAGUAUGGCGUUACAGAAGAGGACCGGAAGAAAAAAUAUGUAAUCCUUUGUUCCUAAAAGUCUUUAAUAUUUAUUUUAUUAGGUUUUUUCCAAGUAGGGAAUAUUACAUCUCUAAGGAACUCCACUGAACAAUUUCCAGGUUUUGCUAUUGAGAUUUCUGCUCUGCUUAUAAAACUUCUGAAAAAACAAAUAUGCAGAUUGGCUCAUGUCUGGUAGGAUUUGGGGGGCAAAGAGAGAGAGAGUCAAGCCGCAAGUCAAUUUCUAAGAGAGACUAGAGAGUAAGGUGCCGCAAGGGAGGACAUAUACCUAUUUAAUUUUUUUAAUACAGUCCAUAAUUAUUGGAUUAAUGUUAGAACUUAUUUAUUUCUCAACAUAGAAGAGGCUAACAACACAGCUUUGCUAUUCAAUAUAAGUUUGAUUAAUUCACUUGGGUAUUGAAACCAAAAAUUUAGCUAACACACAAAUUCAUUAAUUGAUAUAAUUUCUUUUCUUCAAUGCAAUACCUUAUGCCAUCAACUUACAUAACCAUUUUACCUUGAGUUACAAGAUAAUGCCCCACAAUAUCCAACACUAACCAUGCAUGAAAAAAAAAAAUGCUAGUCAAUUACAGUGCAUGAAGAUUUUGAAAACCAUUAAGCUCAAUCACCUGGGUGCCAACAACAUUAGGUACAUCUAAAAUGAGAAUAGAUUUACUGGCUUAAAAGGCAGAAUGUUCAACACCUUCAUAGUCAAUUCCAAUGGCAAGGGGAAAGCUUGCAGCAUUAUCAAAACUUAAAUUUCUUGGAUACAUUCAUAGCACAAUAACAUAUGAAAACAAAACUAUAUAUGUCUAACUUUUUCUAUUCACCUGAGAAUGAAUUAUAUCUACUAAAAAGCCAUAGUAACACAUCUUUAAAAUAUUUCACAAUAUAAUACAUUGGAUUACAGAAGUGUUUGUUAUGCCUCGAGGAUCUACCUUGCAUGCAAUCAUGACUAGAGUUUUAUAGAAUUGUGCAUUUAUGUCUUAGGAGAUAUUUAUGCAAGUUGUUAGGAAACUUCAAGUGCUUGGCAUUCAAGCCUAAAAAUACCCCAUUGCACUUGCCAUUUUGCACAACCACACCACACACGCAAACUCACCAGCACACACACAAGCUCUCUAACUCUUGUACAAAGCUCUCUUGUAAUUUCUCUUUAGUGAGUAAUAAAAUUACAUUAAGCUAUAUUGUUCUUACUUCUCUCUAGUAUUUUCGUGAGCAUCCUUACUUCGCUAGUUACUUAGCGACUUGCGUUCUAGAAGUCGUCUAAAUGUCGUACAAGUUUGCUGCACAAAACACUCAUCCCAUAACAGACUGCUAAUUAAAAUAGCUAGGAUGAGGUGUUUGGUUCAACAAGUCCAAGAUAGUUUUCUCUUUUUUUUUCUCUUUUAACUUAUCCUUCACCUCAAUUUAUACGGUCAUUCUUGGUUAAUCAUAAUUUUUAUUAUUAUUAUUAUUAUUAUUAUUGCGUGGUAUUUAGUUGUUAGUCACAUUUUUUAUAUAGUUUUCAUUUUCUUAACUCAUACUCCUAUUUUCCACAAAAAAAGAAUUAUAGGGUAACUUAACCGUAAAUUCAUGCAAGACUAGUUUCGGGAUUAAAAUUGAUAUUUCCUCUUUUUCCCCCCCACCAAGUACGCAAUGCAUUACCUAAUCACUUAAAUCCACUUCCAAAUAUUUUCGUCGAUAUUUCGAAAAUUUCAAGUCAAUCUUACCCCAACCCGUACUUGCACGCUUCCAGCGACUUGUUUUCAAUCAUUACUUGCUUGCACUCAUUCCCUGUUUGUUUACAUGCGUGACUUGUUAAAUAACUUCCAAUUUAAAUGCAUUGUUUUGUCAAAAAGUUGAUUUCCCGCAGCUUACCGGCCCAUCACCUUUUUCUCAGGUUACUCCCCAUCGUCUUUGUGUCUCUUCUGCAGCUGUGUGAUGAAAUCCAACGGUGACUGUGCUAAAAGACAAACAACUGGGGCACCAAACCCAUGACACAACGUAGCUGCCCCCAGAUAUGAUUGCUUUUUGCUGUGCUUGUAAUAAUUUAUUUUUAACGGUGAUAAUAAUCUAGCAAAAAGUUGAUGUAUUGGCCGACAAGAUUGUCAUUUUUUUCCAUUUUUGAAAGUAAACCAUUUUAACUUUGUUGCAAUCCAAAAUAGAAGACUGGUACCCUAGUAUUUUCACUUUAUUGCAAUCCAAAAUGAUAGAUUGGUAGUCUAGUAAAGCUCCCCAUAAAUCAGAAUGUCCUUUGUUUUACUCUAAAUUGUUAUAUAUCAGUUAAAUAAAGGAUUUCUUAAAUUAUUAAGAGAUAUAUUAAAAAAAGUAAGUAAACUAUAUAUUUUAAUACAGUAUGUUUUAUUAUUUAAUAUAUUAAAGUGUGUAUUUAUAUAUUAUGGAAUCUGUUGAGAUUUUAGAUAUGAAUACUUAUAAUAGAAUCUAAAGAUAUGUUGAACAUUAAUUUUAAAAUACACGCUAAAUACAUGGAGAAAAAUCUACCUUUAUUUAAAGAGAAUAAGUUUAACAAGAAUAAGAUUUAAAUUAUUUCCAAUGAGAAAUAUAUAAUAUAAAAUAAAUAUUCUAAAAUUAAGCUCAUUCACUCAACAACAAAAGAGGAUAUCCCAAAUACAAGUGGCAGAUACAAAGCUUCUUCUUGAAUUUCUUUGAUUUUUUUUUUUUAAAUGAGUUUUUACCAAUUUACCUUCAGCCAUUUAGAAAAUACUAAACGGAAUACAAACGAAAAUACAAUCCAUCUAAGUCAGAAGACCCCCUCAUCAUACGCAUAUGUGCCAUUCCACAUUUCACCUUUCAAUUCACACUGUGAUCUAAAAUUUAAAAAUAAAAAAAGAACUGGAAAGUGAAGCCACGAAGUCAACAGCAAUUUGUGAUACAUGACUCGGAACUUGCUACCGAAGCUCAUUCAUUUUUCAUGCUCUUGGAACUCACCAGAUACAUCAUUUACAGCUAUUAUUGCAAUUUUUUUAUUCUGAGAAUGUAAGAUUGUGAUAAGAGGACAAAGAUUUGUAUAAGAUGUUAAUUAGCAAGAUCCUACGUUGUUUCGAUGAUCCGAUGUUUAUUUAUAUUGCCAUAUGCAGCUUUUCAAUUUUCUUAUAACUUGUGCGAACUCUCUAAACGGAGCUUUCAGCAGUAAUUGAGGAUAUAUAACGAAGAAGGUAUGAGAUCUUAUUGUUUCAUAGGCUCUUGGUUUAAUGUUUGUUCGACUUUCAAUGGCUAUACUAGUUUGUUGUAUGUUAAUUCUAAUCAUUGGAUUAAAAACACUUUUUAGUGCAAUUUUUUAUUACAUUCAUUUUCAUUAAAUUAUUUUGGCCAUUUAUUUGUAUUAAUUCUUAAGUUAUAGAUAAUUGGUUGACGUCAAUCACCUCCAAGUCACUUCUGUUGACCAUACUUUAAAAAAUUAAAGUAAUUAAACGUUGUCGUUCGAUCUUGUGAUCAAGCCUUGUUGUUUUGCUUAUAGCAUACUGAGAUAAACUUAUCAAUUGCAGAUAAAUAGCAUGGAAAUUUUAUCAUGUACUGGAUCAAAGUUUGCAGAAUUAUUGGCGGACGCAACCGUAAACCAAGCUCGCUAUUUGUUUUGCUUCAACAGCAUUAUUAAAGAACUUGAGGAUAAGGAAACUAAUUUGAAGGAGGCACAAGAUGGCAUCAAUAAAGCUCAUUCAUUUUUCAUGCUCUUGGAACUCACCAGAUAUGCAGGCUGCUCUGGUUUCGGUAUGUUACUUUUGCUGCCUACAUCACUUACAGUUAUUAGUUCAUUUUUUUACUCUUAAGAAUGUAAGAUUUUGAUAAGAGGACAAGGACUUGUACAAGAUGUUAAUUAGCUAGAUCCUGCGUUGUUUCGAUGAUCUGAUGUUUAUUUAUAUUGCUAGAUGCAGCUUUUAAUUUUCUCCAAACUCAUGCGAACUCUGUAACUCGAGCUUUCAGCAGUAAUUGAGGAUAUAUAACGAAGAAGGUAUGAGAUAUUAUUUUUUAUAGGCUCUUAAUUUGAUGUUUGUCUUCGUUCCAAUGGCUAUACUAGCUUGUUUUAUGACAAUUCUAAUCAUUGGAUUAAAAAUAGACCGAAAAGACAUACCAAUAAAAUGGUCGAGAAUUUAAGUUCUAAGUUUUUAGUGUAAUUUUUUAUUUUCAUUAAAUUAUUUUUGCCAUUUAUUUGUAUUAAUUUAACUUAACGUCAACCACCUCCAAGUCAGUACUGUUGACCAUUCUUUAAAAAUAAAAUCAAUCUUUAACCUAACGACAAUCACCUCAAGUCAGUACUGUUAACUAUACUUUAAAAAUAAAACUAAUUUUCCUAACCCAAGUCCCAAGUCCCAACAUGAGUCCAUUAUGCUCUCGUGCCAUUUCAAAUUGGUCCAUUUAAAACGUCUUUUCAAUUGUACAAAAAAAAAAAAAAAGAAAUUGAAAGUGGCGCAGUUCAUGCCCUUCUAUUUUCUUCACGAAACCCAUUUGGCUAAUUUUUAAACAAAAUUUUUAUUAAAAAAUUUUGAUAAAUAUAUGAUUACUAAUAUAACUCUUUUAAAUUCGACAUAUAAGCUUAUUUUACAAAUUAGCUUCAUAUAAAUUAUCCUUUUACAAAUGAUUCAAUUCUAAUUGGAACAUUACAAAAAUACGAACAUUAAUAAAAAAUCAAUAUUUUAUAUUUGUUUCCAAUUAAAACCUAAUUAAUAUUCUUUAUGUUUCAUUUGUUGCGUGAUAGAUUCAUUUGAAUUUUAAUUUACAACAGACAAAAUUACCAUCUUACAAUUGAAAAGUCAUGUUCAAUAGGUAUAAAAGUAAUGACAUAGACGUUUUAGGUUAAAUUUUAAAAAUACAAAAGGUCCGCCUAAGUUACAGUUAAUGUAACUUACAGCUGCCCUGUAAAAUUUCGUUCAGUUUCCUAUAUUCUAUAUUAUUUACAAUUUAUUCAUAAGUAUUAUAAACAUUUUUGAAUUGUAAAAUUUCAUUUAAUUCCUUAUAUUCUGUUUUAUCUCAUUAAAAGUCCUAGAGUUUCAAUUCACCCCUUAUAAUUUUAAAUUCCCAAAAUAACUUCCAUUUAAUUAAAAAUAUAAUAAUUAUUAAAUUAAUUAUAAUUAUAAUUAUAAUUAAAAUAAUUAUUAUAUUAUAAUCAUAAAUAUAAUUAUAAUUUUUUUGUUAAAUUGUUAAUGAUAAUAAUUAACGAUAAUUAUUAAUCAUAAUUAAUUUUUGAAUAAUUAUAAUAACAAUCAAAAUAAUUAAAAUAAAAAAUAAUAAUUAUGACAAAAAUUAAUUAAGAUUUUUAUAGUAAUUUAUUACAAUUUAACUCACUCUAAUUUUUAUUCUAAGACAAAGUAAACACAUAAAUAAUAAUACAGCUAAUUUUAAUUACGAUUUCUGCAGUUCAAGUAAAUAAAUUAUUAUGAUCUCAAUUCCUCAUUUUGAUUCUAACUCAUUAUGUUUCCAGCUAAUUUCGAUUCCUUUUUAGUCAAUGUAAUAUAAAAUUCAUAAUACUUAUGAAUAAAUUGUAAAUAUUAUAGAGUGGUCUAACUGAUUAUAGAGUGGUUUACAAUUUUAUAGUGCGUUCACUAAAUAGGAAUCUAAAUUAGUUACAAACAUAAUGAGUUAGAAUCGGAAUAGGUAGAAUCGAAAUGAGGAAUUGGAAUCAUAAUAAUUUUAUUUACUUGAACUGCAGGACUCGUAAUUAGAAUGAGUUGCAUUACUAUUUAUGUGUUUACUUUGUCUUAGAAUAAAAAUCAGAGUGAGUCAAAUUGUAACAAAUUACUAUAAAAUCCUUAAUUAAUUUUUAUCAUAAUUAUUAUUUUGUAUUUUAAUUAUUGUUAUUAUUAUUCAAAAUUUAAUUAUUAAUAAUAAUUAUCGUUAAUUAUUAUCAUUAACAAUUUAAUGAAAAAAUUAUUAUUAAUUGUUGUUAAUAGAUUAAUUAAUUAUAAUACUUUUUAUUCUUGUUAAUAAUAAUCUAUUUAAAAAUUAUAAUCAUAUUUAUAAUUAUAAUAAAAUAAUUAUUGUAAUUAUAAUUAUAAUUAUAAUUAUAAUUCAUUUAAUAAUUACUAUAUUUUUUAAUAAAAUGGAAGUUGUUUUGGGAAUUUAAAAUUAUAGGGGGCGCUUCUCAAAAUAAAAAAAUUAUAGGGGGCAAAUUGGUACUCUAAGAGUUUAAAUGAAAUAAAACAGAGUGCAUGAGGCUAAAUAAAAUUUUACAAUCUAAAAAAUGCUAUAAUACUUAUAACUAAACUGUAAAUAAUAUAAAGUAUAGGGGGCUAAACGAAAUUUACAGAGCAACUGUAACUUGCACUAACUGUAACUUAGGCGGACCCAAAUACAAAUACUAUAACUGGUAAUAGGUCCAAACUUUAGAGAAUAAAAAAACAAAUUAGCGCAAUCUUCACCAUACCAAGUAAGGUGUCAUUUAUAUCUAUUGAAUAAUAAGAUAGGGUAAUAAAUAGUUUAACGAAUAAAUAAAUUAAUUAUCCAAUAUGUGAGUUUAAUGAACAUUUAAAGGAAAAGAAAAUUAAGAUAUUAUUUGGAAUUAUGGUUUUAUUUUAUUGAAGGUAAAAAAAAAAAAAAAGGUAAUCAUCUUCAAACCAUUCAAAAUUUAUCAUGAGUGGGGCUUGCAUAGGAUGUUGAACUCCUCUAAUCUCUAAUACUCUUUUUAAUUGUUAUUAUGGGUGGCUUUUCAGUUAUUCAUCACUUUUAUCAUAUUCCCCACGCAACUGCCUGUCUUCACUCGCAAUGCACCACAAACUCUUAAGUUUAUCCAGAUUCUAUUAAAUUUGUUGUUUGAUAUUUUCAUUUAAAAUUUUCUAAAGUAAUCUAAUUUCAAUGUAAUCCAUCAUAUAUAACGUUUACCUUAUUUCUUCUCUUCUGCUUUGCAUUUUGCACAUAUUGAUCAAAGCUGGCGUUAAUAAGCCCAAAAAAAAAAAAAAGUAAUUAAACGUUGUCGUUCGAUCUUGAUCAAGCCUCGUUGUUUUGCUUAUAGCAUGCUGAGAUCAAUUUUAUUAAAUGCAGAUAAAUAGCAUGGAAAUUUUAUCAGGUGUUGCAUCAAAGCUUGGAGAAUUAUUGGCGGACACAACCAUAAACCAAGCUCGCUAUCUGCUCUGUUUCAACAGCAUAGUUAAAGACCUUGAGGUUAAAGAAACUAAUUUGAAGGAGGCACAAGAUGGCAUCAAUAAAGCAAUCGAAGAAGAACGACAAAAACAUCGCGCCAUAGUAGUCGAGAAAGAUGUAGAGAAGUGGCUGGCGGAUGUAGUCAAAGAAAUGGCCAAUGUUCAAAAUUUGAAAGCAAAGAUAAAUGAAAACAAAAGUUGUCUUAAUGGAUGGUGUCCUAAUUGGUGUUGCCUAUAUUGGCUGGGUAGAAAAGCAUCAAAGGAGACUCGCAACUUGUCCGAUCUACAAAAGAAAUGCGGCAAAUUCAGCACAGUUGCCCGUCCUAAACCUCUACCAUCAAACAAAGAAUUGCCCGCACCAAGACAUUUUACGUCUUUCGAGACUACAGAACUGGCUUGCAAUCAGAUCAUUGAAUCACUGAAAAGAGAAAGCACAAAAAUGGUGGGACUGCAUGGUCUCGGUGGUGUAGGAAAGACGACCUUGGCAAAAUUUGCGGGCAAUCAACUUCGGCAACAAAAGAUUUUCGAUGACGUAGGGAUAGCCACUAUAUCUCGGGAUCCAAAUAUAAUAAAUGUUCAAAGUGAGCUUGUAAAGUCGUUAGGUUGGGCAUUAACGGAGAAAGAUGAAAAUGAUAGAGCAGACCGAUUGCGCUUGAUGUUCUCUGAGAGUAAAAGCCGCAAGAUCCUCAUAAUCCUUGACGAUGUCUGGAAUGAACUCGACUUGGAGACAGUAGGUAUUCCUGUUGGUGAUAUAGACAAUUGUUGCAAAAUCCUUCUAACCACUCGCCUUCAGCCAGUUUGUGAUCGCAUGGGUUGUGACACGCGGAUUCAACUAGGUGUUCUAAAGCGAGAAGAAGGACUGGCUUUACUAAGAAAGCAUGCCGGCAUUGAUGCUGAUUCAUUGAUUGGUGUUUCAGAACGAGUUGCUGAUGAAUGUAAGGGGCUGCCUUUGGCUAUUAAAGCUGUUGGAAGUGCACUAAGCGGUAAAGGAUUUGGUGAAUGGAAAGUAGCUCUACAUAAACUAAAAAAUGCAAAACUUAAUACAAUAGAAGGUAUUGGCAAGGAGGACCAAGACGUUUACCAUUGUCUCAAAUUUAGUUACGAUUAUUUGAAUGGUGAGGAUUCCAGGUCAUGCUUCUUGUUGUGUUCGCUGUUUCCAGAAGAUUAUGAGAUAGAUUUGGAGGAUUUGGUUGGAUAUGCAGUGGCGUUGGAUUGGUAUCAAGUUGAGUCAAUCGAAGAUGCCAGGAGCCUAGUGAGUGGAACGAUUAAAGAGCUCAAAGCGUCUUCACUGCUGUUAGACGCUGGUAAUGACAGAUUUGUAAAAAUGCAUGACAUUGUACGUGACGUAGCCUUAUGGAUAGGCUCAAUGGAGAAAAAAUAUUUAACUAGUAAAGUUGGCAUUGGAUUGGCGGAACAGGCAGUGGAACAAUACAGAGGAAUCUCUUUGAUGGGAAAUGAAAAAGAAGAGCUUCCAAGUGGUUUGGUAUGCCCUAACCUUCAUAUUUUGCGACUGGAGAAUACUGAAUAUGACUAUCAAUUGCAUGUUCCAGAACAUUUUUUCGAAGGGAUGCCAGCAUUGAAAGUUGUUACUAUAAUAGGAGGAGUCAUUUCACUUAAAUCGCUUCAAUUCCUCACCAACCUCCAAGUUCUGCAGUUGAUUCGAUGUAACGUGAGUGACGCGUCUUUCCUUGGAAAGUUGAAGAGACUUCAAAUUCUUUGUGUCAAGGGGUCGCCCAUUGAAAUUCCUGAAGAAUUUGAAGAUCAACUUAGUAGAUUGAAACUUCUUCUAUUCAUUGAUUCUGGUUCUACUUCUCCUAUUACGAUAAAAAAAUUUCCUCAAUUAGAAGAAUUUUAUGGUUGGAUAAAAGAUUGGGAGGUUGAGAGGAUGAGUGCAGAAGAAAGUUACGCUAGGGCAGCUGAGUUGAACUCCCAACCCGACGGUGAUGAAAUCCAAGAUGACGAUGGAAAGACUUUACACACUGACAAAAAAAUUUCACGUCUUCCAGAAGACUUUACAUUCCCGAAAUUGCAAAUGUACUUCGUCAGUAACUGGAACAAACUAAAAGUUGGAAUGGAAAAAGGUGAAAUUCUUGGACAGAGAAGGUGCUUAAUGAUUAGUAAUUGUGAAGCGACCUCGCUCGGUAUUUUUUCAGCAUUGUAUCAAGAACUGGAAAUUCUUUAUUUAAGUGGGAUUACAGGUUGUCAAUAUAUUGUGCCAAGCAUAGAUGAAAGGGGCUUAAAUGAGCUGAGUUGUCUUUUUGUCAACAAGUGCAAAGAAUUAGAAUGCAUAAUGGAUGCCUCUAAGUUGCCGCAUAGAAAGAGUGGGAAUCUUGUGAUGCUCUCAAGAUUAGCAGAGUUAUCUAUGUGGGAAUUGCCAGAACUGAAGUGGAUAUGGAAGGCGCCCGCCCAACAUGUGAUCAGCCUCCAAACUCUUACAGAAUUGAAUGUGCAUAGGUGCAACAAGUUGACAUAUAUCUUCACGUUGUCACAAGCUCGAAGUUUGGAGCAGCUUAAAAGUCUCUAUGUAAGGGAAUGCGAGAGACUGGAAUGUAUUGUCAAAGCAAAGUUUGAUCACAAUGAAGGGGAAAUAAGUGUCCGAGAUGGAAAUACGAUGCUCGCCCUCCCUUUAUUGAGAAAAUUAACACUUGAUGAUCUCCCACAACUCAUGAGCUUCUGUUCAGAAAAUUAUUGUUCAAUUUGGACAGCAUUGGAAGAGUCACACCUUAGGCACUGUCCCAACUUGACCGUCAAUAGUACUGAACUUGAAGCCAAUUUGCAGUAUCUUGAAGAGGUAUGUUUGUUUGUGUUUACAUUAUUUCUUUUCCUUCAAUUUUACUCAAAAUGAUAGUUUAACAAUAAAUUUUAUGAUCAGCCAUUAGUUAUUUGGUCCUAUGGAGAUGAUGAUGAUAGUGGAUGUGGUGAUGAUAAUAAUAAUGCUCAAAUAUCUUAAGGAAAUUCCUUUAUUUUAGGGCCUACAAUCAUUCUUCAAAUGAAAGUCAUAUCUCAUUUUGGUAUAGAAAGAAUUGAUGCAAACACUUUUGAAGUGUAUAUAAUAUUACUCAAAUUCAAUUAAUUAGCUGAUCAAGCCAUAGAAAUUAAUAGAAUACUAAUUUUUCUCAAACAAUCUAAUGUCACCUUUAUAUCACUUCACAUGAUCUCUUCUAACUAAUUUCAUUUAAAAAAAUUCCAUUACUUUUUAAUUAUUUUAUUAGUUUGCAUAUGUAUUAUUACAUUUUUGUAUUGAUUUUGUUUUCUGUUUUUGUUUUUGCGGUGCUCAUCACUUAUCAUGUGAUAAUCCUAGCUGCUAAUAGAUUUUAAUAACAUCAAGUUAUUUAUUUAUUUGUCUCAGAACUUAAAAAUUCUAAAUGUGGAAAAUUGUUCCCAUUUGAGUGACAUGAUUCUAGCACUGUUGAAGCACAGCUUAAAAAAUUUGGAAUAUUUGGGUAUUACCCAACUUGGAGUACAAGUGGUAUUUCAAUUGGAAGCUAUUAUCACUGAGGGACAAGAAAACAAAUUAUUCCCAUGUUUGAAGACAUUGUACUUGCACGAUCUUCGAGAACUGCAAGUAUUAUAUCAUGAAGGACCCACGCAUAAUUUUAGCCCGCAAAAUCUUACCGAAUUAACUGUAGGGGGGUGCACUAUGCUGAAACGUCUCCUCUCAUCAACACUUGCUCGAAAUCUAUUACAAUUGGAGGCAUUGGUUAUUUGGAAUUGCUUGGAAUUAGAGCAAAUCAUUGAUAAGGAUGAGGAUGAGGAUCAUCUCCUACCUGUAUGUUUCCCAAAACUCAACUAUAUCUCUAUCAGUCAUUGCCCCAAACUAAAGCAUCUAUUUCAUAUCAGCGUAGCUCCAAGUCUUGAAAAACUGAAGUACCUAUGCAUAACAGCUAAUGAUGAAUUAGAAGAACUAUUCUGGCAUAAAGAUGGAGCAGAUGUCACGAAUUAUAACGAAAUUGUUAUGAAUGAACUUCGGGACUUGAAACUGAGAGGUUUACCAAACCUCACCAACUUUUGGCCUGCGGGUUAUCAAAUCCCAUUUCCAUCUGCAUCCUAUGAAGAUGUUCGUAAUUGUCCCAAGCUUCGUGAAAAUUCAGAAGGAGACAGAUGAUUCCGAGAAUUCUGGAGCAGAGGUAAGCUCUUGAGAACUUUAAUUAAUUGACUCCACAUAUAGUUGGUUCAUGUUUUCAUUUGUGAUAGCUGAUUGAUUCAUCCUCAAAUCAAGAGACCCUCUUUACAUAAAAAUACAUAUUGACAUUAAUUUCACAGAUGAGCCACAGAAUUCUACCAAAAUUUUCUUUCUAAUACUUUUUUUUAAUGUUUUCUUUUCUUCUUGUUAUAAUAUUCUCUGUUUGCAUUUUUUAUUUUACUCAUCAUUCAUGGUUAAUGCCCAAGAUGCUAACAAGCUUUGUUCUGUACUUGUUUUCCAGGUGGAUGAUAUUAUUGCGGGCUUAAAUUGUGAAGACUAAAGUUUCAAGGCUUUGUUGUAUGUAUCCCAAGGUUUGUUCAACUUCAAAAUUUUACAUGUUCCUUUUGCGUUCGUUGUUUCUUCAAUUGUUAGACCUUUGGCAAAUUUGGUGGCUAAAUUAAUGGCCUUUUCGAUGGGCACUAAUUGGGCCAAUUUAGUUGUAGCACGCAUUUUGUAUUGAGGAACAUGAAAAUGUUCUAGCUUUCUAGACGGCAAGAAAGUGUGUAAUGUUGUGACAGCAAUAAUUUUUACUUUUUAUGUGAUAGUAUUGGAUAUUUUUGGAUUUUGUGAAGUGAGAUUUUAUAAACUUAUAAAUGGGUUCACUAUAAAUAUGUGUUUCUCAUUUUCUGGUACCCGUAUUUUUUGUUAGCCACCCGUUCUCAUUGGCUUGUGGAAUGUGCAUUUGAAAGAGCAUUUUGUGAAAUGAUUUUACUCAAUUAUGCUUUGGAUUUAUUUAUGAUGCUGUAUGAAUUUUUACAGCAUUGAUAGUAGGAUUAACGUGGAUCAUUAGCUUUAAGUGUCUUAAUCUCAAUCGUUCAUUUAAUAUAAUGGAUAAUUAAAUAAUUAAUUAAAAGGUAGCAUGUAACUUACAAAUUGCUGGUAAAUUUUUUUAAUUUUAAAUUAAUAUUAAUUUGACAAAAAAACCACACACACCCCAUGGUUUGCUUAAAUAGUUAUACGGAUCUACUUAGUUUCAUAAAUAGUAACACAAACCCCUUAACUUUCAUAAAUGACUAUUAUACCUUUGUUGAAUAAUAACUUAAGCUACUGAUUCUCUGUAAUUUUUUUUUUUAAUUUAUUUUGGCUUUCGCUGAAGCACUAGGCACUAGCUAAUAAGUGAUUUGAAUUCUUGUUUGCAUAGAUGGAGUGAAGGGUAAGUGUUGACGACACGAGUACUUGGGUAAUCUACGUUGGCGAAUGGUUAUAGACAGGUGGUUGCAUGCAAAACGUAAGAUUUGGCUGGUGAUGAUUUAUGUGCAGGGUAGCUGCCAUAUGCAAUAUGUGAACGUAUAAUUUCAUGGGAAAAGUUUGGUGAAUGUAUGAAUUUGGAGAACCACCGUACUCUGUAACAUCAAGUUCUAAAUGCACAAACUACGGCCAGGGCGCUGUUUCAGAAAUUUCCCAGGCCCCCUGAAGAUCAUCACCAUUUUCUUGAUCAAAACAUUCAAGGACACCAUUUGAUAAGCAAUUAAAUGAUCGAUGAUAUGCUAUGAAUUGUAUGCUGCAGCAUCGAUAUAUAUCCCUCUCCGUCCAGAUGUUGUCAAUUAUGUUCAAGUUCUGUAUAUAUGUAUGUUGAAUGUGCUGCUAGCUGGCUACUAAUUUCUUUUCUUCUCUAUAUAUGUCAUGUCAGUGUGUUUGCUUCAGUGCUUGUGCCCAUGUUGGGAGUUGGGAGGGACUGCAUUAUGAAUAAACUUGUGUGUUUUCUACAUUAAUAUUUUCUUCUCCUUCUUCUUCUACACUAUUGAAUGGCUUCGUGUCAAAGGGCGCCAAUGACGAAUUAAUAUGUAUAUAUUAACUAAUAGGUAAGAAUCAAUCUCACCUCUUUUUUUAGCACACUUCUGUAGCCUUGAGAGAAAGUAUUUGAUUGGUUAGACAACAGGAUAUGUGAACUUUAAUUAAUUAAAUAUUUUUUAAUGAUUUUAAUAAAUAAAAUUAUUGUUACAAUCCAGCUUGCUCAAGGUAUCCAAAAUGCACUAGCUUGCUCAAGGUAUCCCAAAGCUUCCAAUACUCCUUUUAAAAUCUAAGAAAUCCCACUUUUUAAUAAAAUUGUAAAAAAGGACAUAAAAUUACAAUAGAAUUUUAAUUAAAUUUCAUAUUAUUUAAAAUAAAUUUUGUAAAUAAACUUUAUCAAAAUGAAUUUAUUGUUGUUAUAAUCUAUUUCUUCAUUGUUUAAAAAUUAUUUUGAUUUUAUCAAUAAAAUUAAUUAUAUCGCAUAUUAAGAUUAGAAAAUAGUAAGGUUGCAUGAGUGUUAAAGACAUGUUAGUUUAAUUAAAUUCAUAUUUAUCCUUUAUAUAAUUUUCAGUACAAUAAAAUGACGAUUACAAAAGUGAAGUGAUACAAGGAUUAUACUCAGAAUAAAAAGCCCAGGCCUGGCAGUCAAUACCACGCCCGGGCUUAGCCACAGGUCCGACCCAUUUUAAUAUGAAAGAACAUAUAAACAGAAGUCAAAACUUGUAAUUUUGUUAAAAAGUAGGGAGUAAAAUAAUAGUUCAUUAAUCAUAAAAAAAUAGACAUACGAGUUGGAAUCGAAUAUAUUGGUCCAUUUUUCAAUUUGCUGGCCCUCUUGGUUUCUUCAUCGUCGACUUCAACGCAGACCCACGAGAAGGAAAAGCAUAACAAGAGCAUCAUAUGGCGCUGCCUCCUGGUUCCUACUCCGGCACCAGCCCCCUCUGGUAAUUCCAUUUUUAUCUUCUUUUAUUCCAUGUGUGUAAUUUUUUUUCUAAUCAAUAUUUUCUUUGUUUUGUUUUACAUGCGAUGGGAUGGAGUUUUUAUGAAUUGUUAUUGAAAGAUCAUUUAUUUUCUGAUCUGGACGGGUUCUUGAGUAGUAAGAAUAGGUUGCUCUGGUUUCGGCUUUUUCGCUCGGUCUCGUUUAUGGAAACAUUAACCUCAAGUACCUCAAGGUACAAUCACUCUUUGCUUCAACCUUUGUUCUUAAUUUGUGCUUUAUUUGUUUGUAACUGAAAAUGAUAGAAUUUUAACUGCAUUGUUUUUUCUUUUUCAGUAUUUAGUUUAGAUAACGAUUUUAUUCUGGUUUCUUGCUGUGUAUUUAGCUAAUGUUAAUAAUUUCAUUAGAACUUAUAAUGCUUUAUUUUAAUUAUUUUUUUCGCUUUCACCAAAUGGGGCUCGCCGCUUCUUGGUGCUGCCCAAACUCACAUCAUUAUCGAAUGGCUAUUCUGGUGUUAGUUUAUAUUGUUUUCGGAAAUGCAGGAUACAGAAUCUCUUUUAGAGAACAUGUUUUGGUACAGUUUAUAAAAUCAUUUGUAAUUUUGUGUAAAUUUUGAAAUUAAUAAACAGUAGUUUUCUUUUUCUUGUAAGUUUUAGAUCCUUACUUAAAGUUACUGCAUGCGAUAAUUUAGUAGAUGCGAGGGUUUAAUGAGAUUGAUGAUUUAGACUCAUCUUGUUAUUGGGAAAGUUCAAUGGAUGAGGGGAAAUGUGAAUUCAAUAGGUAAAAUUAUCACGGGCUGAGGGGAAAUGUGAAGUCAAGAGGAGGAAUUAUGAAGGGACGAAAAUAUCUAAUUCAUAAUUGUUAUUGAGCUUUAUAGACGUUAGAUUUUGUGUUAUUAUUGCUGUGUUUCUACCUAUUAGUACAUUUAUUUUUCCUGUGUACGUACAACAAAUGGAUGAUCAUUUUCCUUUGAAAAUGCUUGUCUAAUACCCUUUUUUUUUUUCUUUUUCACUUAGUCGAAGGGAAAGUCUUUCAAGAUAGUUUCAAUUUUUUAAUUUUGGUCUAAAAGUAGUUCUUCUACUUAUUUUUCUUCCUGGAACGGUGGGGACAACAAAAGUCUACUACUAUUAGAUCAUUAACUUCUGCGGUUCAUUGACACAUAAAGACCUGUAGCUGUAGCGAUGUUUCAGAAAUUUCAUAACUGAUGUGACUGAACGACGUUUACUGAUUAGAAACCGAGAGCCCAUUUGUCUCAUUGUUUAGAUGUUCUCAUUUGAAGCUUAAUUCACAAAACCCAGCGUUAAUUGUAGAACCAAAAUCUGUCCAACACAAUGUGGGAAUUUUUAGGGAUUUGGACAACAAACCCCAAAAUCAAUAUCUUCAUUUGGGUUGUUAAAUACAUAGUGUCGUAUGCUAAUAGCCACGCAUUUAGUUAUAUGCCUCAAGUUGUAAGAGAACAAAGACAAGAGAAAAAUUGUUCAACCAAUUGGAAAGCAAAGGUGUAAUUAGGCCUGUUGAGCUGCAUUCAUGUAGUGUUUGUGAAAGGAGAUUUUAUAAUAAUGACAAAUUUGUUAAUUAUUUUAUGCGAAUUCAUGAGUGUAAAGUAAAGAAGAGAUUGAAUCAAGUAGAAUCAGCUAGAGGGAAAAGAAGAGUGCAUUUGGGUGGCAUGUAUUCAAUGAAGAUGAAAAAAUAUAAAAGGGCUGCAAGGACAAUUUUGACUCAAAAAGUGGGUUAUGGUUUGGCAAAUGAGUUGAAAAGAAAGGGGUUUUGGGUCAGGACAGUGUUAGAUAAGCCACAAGCUGCGGAUGUUUUGUUGAGAAAUCAUACGGUGGAUAUGAUGGACAAAAGAAGGAUUGAGUGUCUGCUUGUUGUGUUGGAUAAUUCAGAUUUUGUGUAGGUUUUGCAGAAGGCGUAGUUGAGGUGUCUGAAGACCCUUUUUAUGGGGAAUAUAAAUGAUGAGGCGUUGAAGAGAAUUGCUGAUGCUUGUUUUUCUUCGAGGGAUAUAUUAACAGGGAAGGCAAGGAAGGAAGCCAUAUCGGUUUUUGGCAAAUGGAAGGACCGAGAUGUUUGAAAAUGUCGGAGUGGACUUAUAAUCCAGAGGUGGAGAAGAAGCUCUUGAUUGGGAUGAUGAGAGUGAGGAUGCAAAUGUUGCUGGUAUAACUCAUGCCAGUGAUGCAGAUUGUAUCAAGAAUGGAAAUAAUGGUGCUUGGUGGAAGCUGGAAUCUUUUCAUUCAGAAGCCACUUCAUAACAAUUGUGCUAAAGACAGUUGGUGGUAAUAUCUUUGACAUAUUCUGUGACUAGGUAAAGUUCUCUUACAAUUUCUUGCUAGCAUUUCUGAAAGCAUGAAAUAAUUGUUCCUCGUACCAAACAAAGUUAUAUUUAUAUGGCUUCCAUUUUUUUUUUUAACUUUAAAUUUUGCUGCUUAGAAUUAAAAAGAUUGUGUUUGGCUUUAUGGUAUCUUACAUAAAAUUUUGUCCAAGUUUUCCAGAAAUAAAUCUUGCAAAAUUUUGAUUAAGAAACUAGGGAAAAUAGAAAGCAUAGUCUCUGAUAGACUAGUGGAAGGCAACCUUUACAGCUCAGGUCUAUUGGAAGGAAAAUGAUGUUUGCCCCGAGUCAAACCCCAGGCCCCGAAACUAAACAAAACGACAUCGUUUGGUUUUUUUUUGUUUUUUUCUUUUUGCUUCUCCAAAACGUUGUUGUUUGACUUAGCAUUUGUAAAAUGACUCUGCGUCACUCUUCCUCUUCGUUUCUUUGUUUCACCAGGGAACAAGAUAGAAUGGAAAGAAUCUUCGUCUUCGUUACUAUCUAGCACCCGAACGAAGAUCAAGCAGUGUUUUGUUUGCCGAAAGCAACUCAACAUUCAAAUUGAGUUGCAGUUAAUAUUAUGUAUUUUAUUAAGUUUGUGUUGGUUACUCCAUGUAUAAGUGAGGAGCAAAAGGGGAAUUGCCAGGCAGGCUGUUAUGGCUUGGAGGUUAUUCAAGCCCUCUCUCUCUCUCUCUCUGUGUUUAUGCACCCACGCACUUGUGCAUGUAUAUCUGACUGAUAUGAGUAGCUGCAGAAUCUGUCUAAAGAGGCUGUUAUGGGUGAUGCCUCACAUGCUUUUGUUCAUCUUCAUGCUAUGCUUGUAGUAGAUAAGGUGAGGAAAUUGUGGUGGUUUAAAGUUUUGGAUUCUUAUGCUGGGUUGAUUGUACUUCCUAAUUCUCGGUAAAAUUAUUAAUUUGAGAUUCAUUUAUUGUGAGUAGUGGAUUUCUGCAUCUCCAAAUUCAACCUUUGUAAAAGCAUUGCAGUAUAAGGUUGGGAUAUACAAACAAAUACCCAGCUCAUUAAUCAACAUUCAAAAUGCAAUAUAGAAACAAAUACUCAGUUAAUCUUGUUAUGCCGAAACUUCACAGGCGCUGUUGAUCUUGUUUCGCCGAAACUCAGCUUAGUAACCAAAACUCAGCUUUCACGGACAAAUUUUGCAGCUGUUGUUAAUCACCUUCUUCAUUAAAUGGGUGCGUUCUUUGUAAGAGAAAGAUCACAGCUUAAGACGAAGAGGAUGAAGAGAAAAGCAGUUGUUAAGUCGAACAAAGAAGAAGAGAGACGCAGGGAUUCUGCAGAGUCAUUUUGCAAAUGCUAAGUCAAACAGCAACGUUUUGGAGAAGAAAAAAAAAAAAAAAGGGCGUCGUUUUAUUUAGUUUUGGGGUUUGACCCGGGACAAAUAUCAGAACUCUUAUUGGAAUCUUGAAUUAUAUAAUCCAUCUUUCACUUGAAGAUUUCUUGCAACAAAUGGCACAGUUGAAGAAGUAAUGGCAGCUGCAGUGGCCAAUGUGGUCAUGCUGCAUUUUCAUUUGAUAGACUUUACCAAAAAAGGGGUGGCGGGGGAAGAGAAGAGAUUUACGGGCAUGGCUUGUCUUUUUACUCUGUUUUAUUUUACUAAUGCACAGUGUCAGAAAGUAGAUUAUGUUGCAUGCUAUUGGAUUUGUGUUGCAAGAAUAAUCAUAUCGCGUUACAGACCAUUUGGACAGUCACAAGUCACAAAUUAGCUUCAGUGAAAUCUCUCAAUUCUUUUUGGGGAAAAUAUUUUGGAGCUGUAAGCUGUUGAUACCACUGUGAAUGUGCUUAAUAUUGAAGUAGAACAGAUACGUUAACAGAGAUUUUGUGGGGGUUUUGGAAAUUGAAGGAUUGGCUAGCUGCAUCUUGUUCUGGACUCAAGCUUCGUGUUCGAAGGUAUACAUGUUCUGCAUACCAUAAAUUCCUGUUUGCUUUUUAUUAUUAUUUUGUCUUUAAAAAAUCUUUGACCAAGUACUAAUUGUGACUUAGACUUUCUUAAAUGGGCAAGCUUUCAACACGAGAUUUUGUCAUCUCAAAAAGAAAAGUUAAUUAAACUUUUGUGUUAAAUUUGUAUUUAGUAACGUCAUAAUUCUUAAGUAACCUCUUGAAUUUUUUUUUAUAUCUCUAUAAAUUAAAUUUCUGAAACUAUUUGUUGCUUCAUCUUACGAUCCAAAUAUCUCGUCAAUUGUGUGAGGAUAUACUAUUUCAAAUGUCGUUUAAACCAAUAUCUAUCAAAACAUGCAAGUAUUUCAUUGUACAGAGUUGGACAAAAAGGGGACCAACAUAAACACGGGUAUGGUAAAACAAUUUACUAAUAUUUACCACAAACAUUAGGUAAUUGAUUAUUUCUACAACAUAAUUAUAACAAUGAUUAUUUCAAAAGUUGGAGACUUGGUCAUAUCUCCAUAGAAAGAAUCAAAAGAUUAGUAAAUGAUGGAGUACUUAAUACUUUGGAUUUUACUAAUUUUGGUACUUGUGUAGACUGCAUAAAGGGAAAGCAGACCACUAAGAGAAAUAAAAGUGCUCAGAGGAGUUCAAAAAUAUUAGAAAUCAUACAUUCAGAUAUUUGUAGUCCGGACAUAGACUUAUAUGGUUGUUGUGCAAAUUUUAAUGUACUCGCAAGCGCACGAAUCUAUUGUAGUAUAGACUAAUGGUGACGAGUGUCGAUCCCACGAGGAGGUGGAUUUUAAUUGUGUGUAGAAUUAAUUUUGUAAAUGGGUGAUUGGAUUUGUGGUGGAAAUAAUUUGGAAUAUGCUAAAACUUAAAUUAAAAUGGCGAGAAUAAAUUCUAAAAUUGGAAUUGAAAUGGCGAGAAUAAAUUGAAGAGAAUUCUAUUGAAAUGUCGUACUUGGGUAUCUGGAUCUGUAUCAACAUGCAUCAUGGGCUAAAUAAUCCUUAUUAAUGCCAAUUAAAUCAUGAGGGGGAAAUCCACACCUCAUGAACCACGCUCUAAUCAAUAUGGUGCUAAUGGCUUAUCGUGCCAAAUAAUAAUAACCUUAUACUAGAGAGCCGGUGUAACCAAUGCGGUAUCUAGACAAGAUUAUUAUUAUUUGUCGACGAGAAGUCAAAACAUCCACAAAAACUAGAGGGGAAGAGAAAAUAAAUUUACCAAAUUAAGCCCAUGACACAUGUUGAGACUUCACCUUCAACCCAAGCUUGAAAGAAAAUUAGCCACUCAUAAUUGAACUAGGGGCAAAAUGGGAAUUUAUUAAAAUACGUAGAAAAUACAAGAUGGAGAAGGAAUUACAGAAAAUAGAUCCCAAAAAUGGAUUCAGAGAUAUCAAAUUAGGGGGGAGAGGCCCCCUUUUUAUAGAUACAUGGAGUAAAUCAUGGCCAUCGGAUUAAAAACAGUUUGGACGCUCAGGAUUGCGCCACGUCAUCAGUCAACAGUACGCGGUUUGACCACGUGGGUGAACAGUAACACGGUUUGACCCGGCUUUGAACAGUAACGCGAUUUGGUUGAAAAUGAUCCUGUGUAAUGCAUGUACCGUACGCGCAAGUUUUGGUCCACUAAUAUGCUACCACGUCACCAUCAACAGUUCAUAAGAAUUUUAGACCAACAGGAUCAUGACACCUCAUCAGUCAAUGCCACAUCAUCGGUCAAUGCCACGUCAUCGAUCCGUCUAUGUGAACAGUGUCGUGAAUAGUAACGUAGACAGUACCGUACAUGUGAAUAGUACCGUACAUGUGAACAAUGCCAUUUUUCCUUUUAUGCUCCUCCUAAGGCUUUCGACCGUCCUGAGUUCAAAAGUGAUGUCCGUUUUGCCGUUUGAUCUCUCGUUUAUUGUGAAAUGACUAUGACGCCCCUAAAAUACACAAAAUACUUAAUUAAAAUAAAACACACAUAAUUAAAUUACAAGAACCUUAAAUACAUAAAAGUAAGGGUUGUUAGUAAGACUUGAAAUGUAAAAUGAUGAUUUUCUCCUUUAUAAAUAUACAUUUUCUAACACUCAACAAUGGUAAAAAAUACUUCAUCUCUUUUAUAGAUGAUUGCUCACGUUAUAUGUAUUUCUACUUAUUUAACAAUAAAAAUGAAACAUUAGAUGCUUUUAAGAUAUUUAAAGCAAAAGUAGAGAAACAGUGCGGAAAGCAAAUUAAGAUCGUGAGAACAUAUAGAAGUGGGGAAUAUUAUGGUAGAUACAUUGAGGAUGGGCAAGCGCCUGGUCCAUUUGCGACGUUUCUUCAACAAUAUGGGAUUAUUGCCCAAUACACUAUUCUUGGUUUUCCAGACCUGAAUGGUGUAGUAGAAAAAAGAAAUCGAACUUUACUGAACAUGGCGCGCAGUAUGCUUAGUGGCUCUAAACUUCGUAAAUCCUUAUGGACUGAAGCUCUCAAGACAGCUAUGUAUAUAUUAAACCGAGUUCCAACUAAGGCGGUUUCUAAAACGCCAUUUGAGUUAUGGAAAGGUUGGAAACCGAGUUUGCGACAUAUACGUGUUUCGGGAUGCCUGUCUGAAGUGAGAAUCUACAAUCCACAAGAAAAUAAGUUGGACCCAAGGACCAUUAGUGGGCAUUUCGUUGGAUAUGCUAAAAGGUCUAAAGGGUACAUAUUUUACUGUCCAUCUCAUAGCACUAGAAUUGUGGAAUCAAGAAAUGCAAAAUUUCUUGAAAAUGACUUGAUCAGUGGGAGCGAUCAAUCUCAGAAUAUUAUUUCUAAAAAAGAUAAUUCAGAUGCUCAACCUUCCACCUCAAGUGAUAGAUUGAUUGUUAUUUACAACACUCCUCAAGUUCAAACAGGUGUUGUGCAAUCAAUUAUUGAAGUUCCACAAGUUGCUGAUAAUAAUCCAGUAGAUCAUGCUACUCAGGAAUUACCUGAAACCCUUGAACAACCAGUUGAACAACAUGCUCCUCAGGAGAAUAUUAGUCCAACAUUAAGAAGAUAUAAUAGAAUAAAGAAACUAGCAAUUUCUAGUGAUUAUAAAGUGUAUCUGCAAGAAUCUGACUAUAAUAUUAAAGCCAAAAAUGAUCCUAAAUUUGUUUCACAAGCCAUGAAUUCCAAAGAAUCAUAUUUAUGGUAUAAUGCCAUGAAGGAAGAGAUGAAUUCUAUGUCAUCCAACGGAGUCUAGGAUCUUGUUGAGUUGCCUAAUGGUGUAAAAGCCUGUAAAUGGGUCUUUAAGACAAAGAAAGACUCAUUAGGCAAUAUUGAAAGAUAUAAAGCAAGACUCGUUGCUAAAGGAUUCACUCAGAUAGAAGGAAUCGAUUACAAGGAGACUUUUUCUCCUGUAUUGAAGAAAGAUUCUUUUCGUAUCAUUAUGGCAUUAGUUGCUAAUUUUGAUUUGGAACUGCAUCAAAUGGAUGUGAAAACAACCUUUCUUAAUGGAGAUAUGGAGGAAGAGGUUUAUAUGAAACAACCAAAAGGAUUCUCCUCUAGUGAUGGUCAGCAUUUGGUAUGCAAGCUUAAGAAAUCUAUAUAUGGGUUAAAACAAGCUUCUCGUCAGUGGUAUUUAAAAUUCCAUGAUGUUAUCUCUUCAUUUGGAUUUGUAGAGAACCUUAUGGAUCAAUGCAUAUACCAGAAGGUUAGUGUGAGUAAGAUUUGUUUCCUUAUUCUAUAUGUGGAUGAUAUUCUACUUACAUCCAAUAAUAAAGGGUUGCUUUGUGAAAUAAAACAAUUUCUCUGAUUUCAGAUGAAAAAUUGUUCACCUAGUAUAGCUCCCAUUGUGAAGGGUGACAGGUUCAAUUUGAACCAGUGCCCCAAAAAUGAUUUUGAAAUGGAACAAAUGAAAAAAUUCCAUAUGCAUGUGCUGUUAGAAGCUUGAUGUAUGCUCAAGUCUGUACAAGACCUGACAUAGCAUUUGUUGUUGGAAUCUUGGGAAAAUAUUAGAGUAAUCCAGGUUUAGACCACUGGAAAGCUGCAAAGAAAGUAAUGAGGUAUUUUCAAGGCACCAAGGAUUACAUGCUUGUGUAUAGGCGAACUAAUAAUUUGGAGGUAAUUGGCUACUCCGAUUUCAACUUUGCUGGGUGUGUUGAUUAACGAAAAUCAACAUCUGCAUAUAUUUUUAUGCUCGUCGGUGGAGAUAUAUCUUGAAGAAGUACAAAGCAGACUUUGACUGCUACUUCCACCAUGGAGGCUGAGUUUGUUUCUUGUUUUGAGGCUACCUCUCAUGGUGUAUGGUUGAAGAGUUUCAUAUAUGGGUUUAGAAUAGUGGAUUCAAUUUCAAGGCCAUUGAGGAUAUAUUGUGACAAUUCAGCUGCAGAUUUCAUGGCUAAAAAUAACAAAAGCGGAAGUCGAAGUAAACACAUCGACAUUAAAUAUUUAGCCAUAAGGGAACAUGUUAAAGAAAAGAAAGUGGUCAUUGAACACGUUAACACUGAAUUGAUGAUUGUUAAUCCUUUAACAAAGGGCAUGCCACCACAGAAGUUUAAGGAUCAUGUAGACCGAAUGAGACUUGGUUCCAUCAUGUAAUUUUCAUUGUAUAUGCAAUGUAAUAUAAAUGAGACUCUUGGUUUUCGUUUAUUGUGAUGUUUUCUCAUCUUUAUGUGCACAUUUAUUUAUAUUGAGAAAAUAUCAAUUUUAUUGGACCAAGAAUAAACAUAGGUUUAUUCAUUAAGUUAAGUUAUCAUAUGUGGUUGGAUUUAAGAAAAAUGAUGUAUUGUAAUACAUGGAAGAUAAUACUCUUUCUUAGAGGACCUAUCGCUAUUAUUCAUGUAUUAUAUUUCUUAAGUCUAAUGAAUUGAUAUCAAAUCAAGUGAAAUGUUUGGACCAACUGGGAGAAUGUUGGACACUUGGUUGUUGAAGUGUUUUUUUUUUCUAAAAGAAGUCUCUAGUAUGUGGACCAAUGUGGACCAACAUUUCAUUGACAUUAAUUCUGCCAUGUUUGGAGCUAGCUGUUAGAUGUUAUGAUAGCUAAUUAUAACUAUCAUCACUUCAUCUUUGAUGGAAAGAUGGUAAUAUAAGGAGAUGGUGAAAUGGUUUUGGUCAUUGACAGCUUGUAAUAAAAAAGAAAACAAAAACUACACCAUCAUUACUGAUUACUGAAGCUACAGAACUAUAAAAAUCGGAAAGCAAACAGUUGCAAAGGACACAUCAAUGGCUGGAGGUUAGGUUCUAAAACUUCUGCAUUUAAUUUUCAGAGCAUGUUAUAUAUUAUUAAAAAAUAUGCUUACAAAACAUGCACUUAGAUCUUAUAAUGCGGUGGCUUACAAUUUAGCCAUGCUAGCUUUUUCUUUUCCAAGAAUCCAAGAGGGUACAUUUUGAUUGAAGAUUGUCCCUGUAGAAAUUACCAACCUCUUCUAAUGUUUCUUUUUUUAAUAUAUAUAACCAAUAUUUUCUUUAAAAAAAUGAAUGUAUAGGCACAAAAUUCAACAAUGAAAGGCAUCUUCUUGAAGCCUGACGAUUUUGUCUAUACUCCUCUUCACAAGAUCUUUGUGAGUUUAUUUUCAUUUUAUCAAUUUUUUUUUAAAGUUUAUACCAUUUUUAUUUAUUUACCUUCAUUUUCUAUUAGGUUUUGACAGGAAAUGGAUCAAAGGCAUUAACAUUUCGAAUAUAGUAUCAAGUCCCUCAAUGUUACCGGCAUCUGGUCCUGUGAGUUACUGGUCUUGGAUGAUAGUAAGGCUUUUAUACAAUUUCAUUGUGUAUAGAAAGUAUAAAGAUUGGUGGCUAAGUAUAAUCAUGUACUACCAUAUGGGCUCGAAUUGGGAAUUGCAUUUGUAGCUCUGUUAACGAGUUUUGGUUUUGAAUUGAAUGGGAUUUAUGGAGUUAAUUGGUGGGGUUUGGAUGUUGGAGAUCGUUGCCCUCUUGCUCGAUGUCGUACAUUCCCUGAUGUGUUAGUAGACGACUACCCUGUUGUCGUAUGAUCACUGAUGUUUUUGUGUUAGCUUAUGAAUUGAAAGCAUCAUAUAUAUGUAUAUAAACUAUGCAACAUUUGUGGAUAUUAAAUUUAUUUUAUGCCGACAAACUACAGUUUAUGAUUGGGCGCUUACAUGAUUCGUUUUUAUAUAUAAUUUUUGUAGUUGUAGAUGUAUUAUGUUGAGCUUUCAUCAAAGGUAACAUUAAUGUUUGUUGUGAAUAGCAAUGACAACGUAGUGUGUUUUUAUCCACUAUUUGUGUAACAUACCUUUGAAAAAAAAAAUCACAAAAAAUUGUUCUCGAUUUUUUGUAUUCUCUCACUUUGUGCUUUUUCGAUUGAAACUAUAUUAUAUUCUUUGAGCUCACCAUCUUCUGCACUUCUAGAACACUCAUCAUAACCUUAAUCCAUCGAAUUUUCUUUGGUUUUCGUACCUUUCUUAAAGAAAUUAUACCUUUGACUCCAUAAUUGAGUUCUUGAUAAUCUUCAUAAAAGGAAACCAUUGCCAUAAUACAUCCUUUGGAGUUGUUAUCUUCUCCAUAACAAACACCGUGGGCACCUAGUUAUUUUAAUCGACGCCCUCCAAGUGCUCCCUUGAAUAGAAGCUCUUAAAAGCUCUCUAAAUCUCCCAUAAUAGCCUCACCUGAGAAACCUCUGUUAGGAAACGACGAGGGAAAACAAUAGAAGGUUGCCUCAAGAUACAAUACCUCAAUGCAAGAAAGACUAACGAAGGUGGUUUGAUCUCCAAGAUACAAUGGCUACUAUCACGAUGUUGCACUUCAACAUAAUAGUUUAGAACAUUAAAACUCACAACGACAAAUGCAGCGAAAGCAAUAAAGAGAAGAGUGCGUCGAUUUGAUAAUAAGAAUGAUAUAAUCGAUUCUUUAAAUAGAUACGCCCUAGCACCAUUUUCCUCUAUAAAUCCAAAUUAUAAUUAUAUAAGGAUUUAGAAUAAAUCCCAAUUCAAUAAGGAAUCAAAUUCUUAAUAUAAUUCAAAUUAAAAAUAAAUAAAUUAAAACAAAGGGCAAAAUUGUAAAAGGUAGCCAACCCUGCACACAUACACGACACCCCGCGGGGAGUCCCCUCCCCCCUAGAGCUUGAGUUAUUGGGCGCAAGCACCCAGUUAAUAGAUUCUCGAGCAGGGCUUCUUUCUUAGCCUUUGUUUCGUGCGCGUGAGGCUUCUCUUUAUAGGCUUGUUACCAUACCAUAUUUGGUUUCUAAUAUGAACCAACUUGUGCUUUCUUAUCUAUAUGGGAUAUUGGUAUUUUGAAAUACCAAUUCAAUCUCUAAUAAUCCCCCACAUAUUUCAGAAUAGCCAAUUUCAUUCAUCCUCAUCAUUGUCCAUAAAGUUUAAUGCAUGUGAACUAGUGCCUUUCGAGCUAUUAACCAGCCACUGAACAAUUAACCCUGUCUCACAAGAACUUGGUGAAACUUAUAGUUUCUAUGAACAUCUAAUGGCUCUGUGCCUUUAAAUUCAUGAGUGCUCUAGAGAUGUCUGUCUAACUCUCAUAAGAACCGACCCAAUUCCAUGCUCACAUAAGUGAACCUCCAUCAAGUAUGUCAUUUAGUUUUGACAUACCACCACACACAAUGUGUAGGAUAUGGAGUUCAUUAAUAGCUCAAUUACUCAACCUAAAUAACUGAAAUAUGCACUAUCUCACCAUAAGGAGGACUCAUAAAUAAAGAAAAUCUUUAUUGAAUGAAAUUAAGAUUACAACAUAUCCAUAAUGUUACAAGACAAUAAGUAACUUGUUUUUACCCUUAUUAACCUACUUUUUGGAGAUAUCCAAUCACAUAAGUAGGGAUACCAUCAGUUUUGUCUUUUGAUCUAGACAGUAGUCCCAUUCCUCUCGAUGUGAUCUCUACUAAACUCUUAUUUUGUGGUUUUGUUAGAGAAUCAACCAAAUUUAGCUCUGAUAUUACAAAAUCUAGGCACAUAACACCUUAUUCCAGCAGCUGCUUAACAAUACUAUGUCUUAUACGUAUGAGUAUAUUCUUCCCAUUAUAUAUUUUACUCCUAGCUCUCGCAAUAAAAGCUUGACAAUCGCAAUGAACUAGCACAACAAUAGGAGGAUGAGCAGAAAUGGAAAGAUCUGCUAAGAGAUUUCCCAGCUACUCAGCCUAAGAACAAGCUUUUUUCUAAAGCAAUUAGCUUGGACUCCAUGGUAGAACAAGCUAUACAUGUCUACUUGGACGAUUUCCAAGAUAUCGUACCUCCAUCAAGGGUAAAAAUAUAACUACUAGUGGAUUUGAGUUCAUUCGACUCGGAUAUCCAAUUUGUAUCACUAUACCCUUCAAGUGAUGGUGGAGAUCUACUAUAUUUAAGCUCGUAAUCAAUAAUGCCUCUCAAACAUCUUGCCAUUCUAGCUACUAUAGUCCAAUGAUCCUGGUUUGAACUCUAAGUAUACCUACUUAAUCUGCUUACAACAUAUGCAAUGUUUGGUCUUAUACUAUUCACCAAGUACAUUAGGCUACUAAUUAAUUCGGCAUAUCUCACUUGAUCAAUACGAUGUUCAACAUUCUUCUUUAGAUGGGAAUUACCAUUAUAUGGAGGGGGAAUUGUCUUGUAGUAAGAAUAUCCAAAUCUCCUUAACAAUUUUUCAACAUAGUAUUCUUAUGACAAUAUGAGAUCAUCUGCAGAUGGAAAUGGGAUCUGAUAACCAGUAGGCCAAAUGUUGGUGAGGUUUGGUAAAUCUGCCAGUCUCAACUAUUGAAGUUCAUUCAUAAUAAUUUCAUUAUAAUCCAUGAUGUCUGCUCUAUCUUUAUGCGAGACUACUUCUUCUAAUUCAUCACUUUUAUAUAUCGAUAGAUGAAUUAGUUUUUAAAGACUUGGAGCUAUGCUGAUAUGAAAUAGAUGCUUUAGAUUGGGGCAGCAAUAGAUAAAGAUCGUAUCGAGUUCUGGGAAACAUAUAGGUUGGAGAUGAUCUUCACUCUCAUCCUCAUCAAUGAUUUGCUCUAAUUCCAAGUAAUUCGAAAUAAGCAACUUCUCCAAUUGCAACAGAUUUCAAGAAAGUGUUGAUGAAAGGAAACAUCUUAGCUUAGUGCACCUGUUCAUGAUUAAAAGGGUCAAAUUUUGCAAGCUAAAAAUUUGCAUGAGAACUUCAUGAUAUAAUACUUGCAGUUCUCAAAGAUUUUCUAAUUCCAAUGUAUUCAAACAUGGGAAUAGUUCGUUUUCUUAUCCAUCAACGAUAAUAGCUUCUACUUGAAAUACUACUUGUACUCCAAGUUCUCGAAUAUACAAUGUUUCCAAAUUUUUCAAGCCAUGUUUCAAUAGUGUGGGAAUUGUGUCAUGCAAAUGGGAACAAUCUCGCACAUAUAGACUUUAUAAUUUCUAAGACAAAUAAAUACCUUGAUGUGAUAAAAAAGUAUUAGCAAUUUGGAUUAUCACAUGAUAAAAUGUUGCCGAGCAAGCAACAAGCCAUAGGCUGCCUACAGGCUACAGCGUUGAUAGCCCUGUCCCUCAAGAUGAUGUCAAUUAUGUUUAAGUUUCAAGUUCUGUAUAUAUGUAUAUUGAAUGUGCUGCUAGGCUAGCUAGCUUCUAAUUUCUUUUCUUCUCUAUAAUAUAUAUGUUGUAUCAGUGUGUUUGCUUAAGUGCUUGUGCCCAUGUUAGGACUUGGGAGGGAUUACACUAUCUAUAAACUUUGUGUGUUUUCUUCAUUUAUAUUUUUCAAGAUAUUAUCAUUUUAUCACCACUAGAAUUAUCUGACAUAUCAUGUCAGUACCAUGAUUUGUUGAAAAGUGCAUUUUACCAUCAAACAUUUACGCCGUUAUCAAUUUACCAACCUUCCAUUUAGGGAUGGCAAUGGGGAGGGGAGGGGAGGGGACCAAUAUCCCCGUACCCAUCCCCGAUAUUUUGCGUAUGUCCCCGUCCCCUCCCCGUCCCCGUCAGAAUUACUUGAGAGAAUCUACAUCCCCUCCCCGAAUAAUAACAGGGGAUCCCCGAGGGUCCCCGAUCCCCGAAUAACUAAUAUAUUUUUUGUUGUUUUCGAUUUUGAGUUAAUCAGCUUAAAAUAAAAAAUUCAAAUAAAAGUAAAGUUUGAAAUAUAUCUUACAUUAAUAUUCAUUACAAAAGUCAGAUACAUUAAAUUAGUAAGUAACGCAGCAUGCAAGGGAUACAAACUUCUUUUACAAACUAUCAUGAACAAAUUAAUAGUCUAAUACAAAAUUGUUACAAGUAAAAUCGAAUUUAGAUUCAAAAUUAACUUUUUCAAUGGUGGCGUGGGCACUUUAUAAAUGUGGACUAUUCCCUUUACAACACAAUAGUUAAAUCGGAGCAAAUCAAGAGCAAAUAUUAGAUUAGAUUAAAUUAGAUAUUAAAAUUGUGAUUCGCUGUGGGCAAUUAUAACAUCUAAAAAUAAAUAAAAAAUAGAUUUAAGUUUAAAAUAUUUAAAGAAUAUUAAAAUUAAAAAAAAUUUGGGCUAAUAGAAUCUAUUCGGUCUUUUUAAUGUCCUAAAUAAAAAUUUAGGACUUUAAUUAGUUAAUUAGGCCUAAAAGUUUAAUAAUAUAAAUAUUUUGAUACUUUUUUUUACCAAUAUUUAUAAUUUUAUAAUUUAAAUUUUAUUAUUUAUUUACUAGUAAUUUUAAAAAAUUAAAAUGGGGAAAUGGGUAGGGGAUGGGGAUUCCACCUCAUCCCCGUCCCCUCCCCGAAUAAGAAAUUGGAUAAAAAAAUUCCCCCGUCUCUUCCCCAAAUAAGAAAUUGGGUAUGAAAUUAUCCCCAUACCCUCUCCGAAUGGGAAAAAUCCCCGAGGGUACCCGUCUCCGUGGGGAUUUUUGCCAUCCCUACUUCCAUUAAAAAAACAUUAAUCUUUAAUUGAAAAUGAGUUAAAAGUCGAUUUCAUCCCUAGAGAAUAAAAGACAAUUUUACUCUUUGAAAAGAAAGAAAUAAUGAACAAAAAUAAGAUGUACAAAACAACUAAAAAUUGUAAUUAAUAAAAAAAAGAACAAUAUGCAAAAUUACGACAAACGACAAAGAAAACAAUUAAUAAAAAAUUCUGCUUCAAAAUUAAUAUUACAAUCUAUGAAAUUCAAGUAUUAAUCACAACUAAAAAUAAUAACAAUUUAAUUAAGGAAAAAAUUUAAUAAGAGAGAGGGUUAUCAAUUUCCUAAUUCUUUAAUUCUUUCCCUUGAAAUUUUUUACUUUGUUUUAUUGUUUAUUUUACAUUUGCAUCGCAAUGUUUUGCCUUUAACAAGAAAUGUCUUUUAUUUUACAUCAGCACAAUAUUAGCAAAAAUUUAACGUUUUUAACAAAAGGAUGAUAUAUUGAUAACGGCGCAAACAUUUGGUGGUAAAUGUAUUUUUCAACAAACUAUGGUACUGACAUAAUAUAUCAGAAUAAUUUUGGUAGUAAAAUAAUAAUAUCUCAUAUUUUUCUUCUCCUUCUUCUUCUUCUACACUAUUGAAUGACUUCAACUCAAAGGGUAAUGAUGAAUUAAUAUGUGCAUAUCUAUAUAUAUAUAUAUAUAUAUAUAUAUAUAUAUAAAGUUGGGACUUGAAAAGGUGAUGUGACAUCACCAUUUCUCAUCUUUGUAUAUUCUCUAUUAUCUAAUAAAUAGAGAAAUUUUCUUUUAGAUUUGGUUUUUCAUCUUUUCAUAAUUAAUUUGAUUGUUAUUACACAAUAACAAUUAUAUAAAGAUUUUAAUGAGGCAUAUUCUUUGUAAUGAACAUCCAAGGGAGAGUGUUAUGAAUUUUUUAAAAUAAAUAUAGAUGUUCAUAACAUAUAUCUCUUAGUCUCCCUACUAUCUCUCAUUAGCAACCUUUAGCUUCCCUAUAACUCCCACUAUCUCACAAGGAAUUAUGAUCUAUAAUUUUUCAUUAAUUGCAUAGAGUGAUUAUGUAACUAUAAAAGGAGAGCUCAUUUUUUUUGUUUUGUACACACACAAUUGGAAUGAAUAAAAUCACUCUAUAAUAUAUUAUCUCAGUUUAUUCUUUAUCUUGCGUUGCUUCUUUAUUUGUAUUACUGGUUAAUAACUUUUUUUAUUUUUUAUAAGGCUGCCUCAUCUUAAAAAAAAAUCAAUUUAUAGUUUUUAUCAAUUUCAUCAAGUGUAAAGUAAGAAAAAAGGAUAAUACUAAAUUCUUUUUUCAAAGCCGCGUGAAGCGCGGUUCUAUUUUCUAGUUAAUUAAUAGGUAAGAACCAAUCUCACCUUUAUUUUAAGCACACUUGCAUAGUCUUGAGAAGAAGUAUUUGUUUGGUUGGACAACAAGAUACGUGAAUUUAAUUAAUUAAAUAAUUUUAAUAAAUAAAAUUAUUGUUACAAUCUAACUUACCGAAGGCGUCCUAAAUGCACUUGCCUGCAGAUUUUUAACUAAAAUCUAAACGAAGUAAAGGCUACUAAAAUAAGCAAUCAGAAAAGUAAAAGGGUAAAGCUUCCUCCACUUUUUUAAGCUCUUUACAACUCCCAAUUUUUGUUUUUGUAUAUUUUUAAUGAAAUUACAAAUAAAGAUAUAAAAUUACAAUAGAAUUUUAAUUAAAUUUUGCUAUCAUUUAGAAUAAAUUUUGUAAACGUACUUUUUCAUAAUAAAAUUAUCGUUAAUAGAUAUUUUUUUUCAUUGUUUAAAAAUUAUUUUGUUUUAUCGAUAAAUAAUUAUAUCAUAUACUAAGAUUGAAAAAUAGUUAGGCUCCUUGGGUUGUGAAGACGUGUCAGUUUAAUUAAAUUCAUAUUUAUCCUCUAUAUAAUUUUCAGUAACAAUAAAAUUAUAUUAUGAUUACAAAAGUAAAGUGAUAAGGAUUAUAAAGAAGUGUGAAAAGCGCAUUACUCAAAAUAAAAUUCCGGGGCUCGCAAAAGCCCAGGCCUGGCCAUUAGGGAAUAACCAGGCCCGGGCUUAACCACACGUGUGGACCAUUUGCUAUUCCUACUAGAAUCGGAACCCGUAUGGAAAAACAUACAAAUAGAAGUCAAAACUUGUAAUUUUGUUAAACAUUAGGGAAUAAAUUAAUAUUUCUUUAAUCAAAGAAAAGUUGCCGUACGAGUCGAACUUGUUAGUCGACUUAUCAAAUUGCACUGUCUUUCUUGUUCUUCAUGUUCGACUUCAGCGCAGACCCACAAGAAGGAAACGCAUAACAAAGCAUCAUAUGGCGCCGCCUCCUGGUUCGUACUCCGGCACCAGCUUCCGCUGGUAAUUCCAUUUUUAUCUUCUUUUAAUCCAAAUGUGUAAUUUUUUUUUCUAAUCAAUAUUUUCUUUGUUUUGUUUUAUAUACGAUGGAAUUUUUAUGAAUUGUUAUUGAAAGAUCAUUUAUUUUGUAGUCUGGGCUUUUGAAUAAUAAUAGUCGGUUGCCCUGGUUUAUAGAAACACUAACCUCAAGUACCUCAAUGUUCAAUCUUUCUUUGCUUCAACAUUUGUUCUUAAUUUAUGUUUGUUAAAAUUUGAUUAGAAUUUAUAGUGCUUUAUUUUAAUUAUUUUUUGUUUUCACCAAAUGGGGCUCACCGUUUCAUGGUGCUGCCCAAACUCACAUCAUCAACGAAAGGUUAUUCUAGAAUUAGUUUAUAACAUCUGGGAAUUAAUUUUUUUUUUUUUUUUGUUCUCGAAAAUGCGGGAUACUGAGUCUCUUUUAGAGAACAUGUUUUGGUGCAGUUUAUAAAAUCAUUUGUAAUUUUGUGUAAAAUUUGAAAUUAAUAAACAUAGUUUUCCUGUACUUGUAAGUUUUAGAUCCUUACUUAAAGUUACUCCAUGCAUUAUUAGUUAGUAGAUUUGAGGGUUUAACGGGAUUGAUGAUUUAGACUUGUCUUGUUAUUGGGAAAAGUUCAGUGGAUGAGGAAAAUGGGAAUUCAAUAGGUAAAAUUAUGGCAGGUGUGGGGAGAUGUGAAGUCAAGAGGAAGAAUUAUAAAGGGACCGAAAUUUCCAGUUCAUAAUUGUUAUUGAGCUUUAUAGGUGUUAGUUUUAUAUUAUUCUUGGCGUGUUUCUGCCUAUAAGUAUAUUUAUUUUUCCUGCGUAGGUACAGCAAAUAGAUGACCGUUUUCCUUUGAAAAUGCUUUUCUAAUACCUUUUUUUUUUUUUUAACCUUAGUCAAAGGGAAAGUCUCUCUAGAUAUUUUCAAUUUUUUAAUUUUGGUCCAAAAGUAAUUCCUCUACUUAUUUAAUGUAGAACCAAAAACUGUCAAAGACAAUGAAGGAAUUUUUUGGGAUUUGGACAACAAACCCCCAAAUUCAGUCCCCCCAUUUGAGACGGCCAUUAAACUGAAAAAAAUCAAUAUCUUCAUUUGGGGUUCUUAAAUACAUGGUAGCAUAUACUAAUAGCCAUGCAUUUAAUUAUGUGCCUCAAGUUGUAAGGGAGCAAAGAGAAGAUAAAAAAUUGUUUGACCAAUUGGAAAACAAGGGUGCAAUCAGGCCUGCUGAGCCGUAUGUAUGUGGUGUUUGUGGAAGGAGAUUUUAUAAUCAUGACAAACUUGUUAAUCAUUUUAUGC